RNAcentral lists this long non-coding RNA (51960 nucleotides) under Theobroma cacao (cacao). RNAcentral's name for it is "long non-coding RNA (TCAC_LNC000746)". Lineage: Eukaryota; Viridiplantae; Streptophyta; Magnoliopsida; Malvales; Malvaceae. The record is from RNAcentral.
UUUUUUUUUUUUUUCUUUUUUUUGUGUUUUUUNCCCACCAACUCACCAUCAGAAGUCAAGCAUAGUUUUACAACAUUUUAAGGCAUAAUUCAAUUUUAAUUAUAAUUUUCCAUUUCCAGUAGUUCAACAACAAUCAAGUUACAUAAUAAUUUACAUAAAAAAUUAUAAAAAGUAUGUUUAUGUUGAAAAUUGUAAGGAGAGUGCAACCUUCUCUAUAGCUAUUCUCAAUCUACUACUAGCAUUAUAAUUAAACAUGAGAAUUUGACAGCAUAACUUGACAUAAUAAAUCAGUAAUUCUAAUAUUAGUACAAUGCAAAAUCAAUGAUAUCCCGAGUUUUGACAAAGACUAAACAAGUUUUUACUCUGUUAGCACAUUUUUUCCUCUUAAAGGUGAAAAAGAUGGGCAUUUAAGUUGCAAUAAGUAUUAGUACAUGGUGAGAAAAUUGUUUAUUAUGGGCAAAAGUGUCAACCCCAUCAAUUAUUCAAUAUUUCAUUAUUUUUUAUUAAAAAUAUUUGGUAAAAGACAGAUUCAUGGUGAGUUUGGUUGGAACUCAUUUUUAGGUGACUGGGUCGAGUCAGCAAGAGAAAGAAGGGGAGAGCACUGAGUCAAAGGUUGGCAAAAGAAGACAGUGUCGUCCUGAGUCGUGUGACCCGAGCAAUUCUCUCAGCAAAGGGGGAUCCUUUUAUUUAUUCCAUUCGUCUAGGACAAAGACUUUUGGACACGUGUCAAGCCAGGGUGGAUGGGGACCACGACCAGAAUCACAUGCACAGCAAAAUGAAGAAAAGCAAGAAGCGACCUUUUUAUUACACCUUCAUGACUUCAUUGCUCCCUUACUGCCUGAAGUUGUUGGGCCUCUAAAUCUCAACCAAUCAAAUAAUUCAUUCAUCUUUGUUUUUUUCUGCUCUUCCAAAUCAACCCACACUUUGGAUUACUUAGGCUUAAAAUCUUCUCAAUUCUUCAUCAUAUGCUAUGGUGAUGCAUUUGUUGGUCCCCCAACUUCUGUUUAUGAUGGCAUCAAUUUUUAUGUUUUGCAGAGUGAUGUUAAUGCAAAUAAAAAUACCCAACAGAGUAGUGGUUUAAUAUGAGCUUUCAGUUUGUAUAUGCAUAGGGUUUCCUCAAUAAAUAUAUCAAUAUAUCCUGGAAAGAAAAUUUAUUGCAUGGAAUCAAUGAUGACAUGUAAUCUGGGUAAAGCCUUUGAUAAUUUGGGAAAAGAAAGGGAAUAUUUGCUUUUUAUUCAUAAUAAUGAUCUUGAUAUAGGGCAAUUAAAACAAACUAGUAUAUUAAAGUUGUUAAAUUGUUGAAACAAGGGAGGCAAAACGGUAAAAGAUAUUUGACAGUUGCAAAGCUGCAAUCAUGCAUGGAAGAGAUGGUUCUUGGACGUACGUUCCACAAUUUGAAGUUAACAAUUCCAAGUCAUAUAGGUUAAAAGUCAUGCGAAGUAAAGAGGGUAGAGUAAGACCAAUCAGUCAGAGGUUGAUCAAACUUGUACAAACAGUUGACUGCAGUUUUCUCUCUCAGUGGGAAAAAUAUGGACUCUCAUUUCUCGAGGUGCCACAAGUUCAAAGACACAACUGUCAUCCAUCUCCAGCUUGUUAUCAACUGCAAAUCUUCGCCAACCUUUGGAGAAAACCUUGUUGGUGUCAGUGUAUAGCAAAGUCACCUCCCAAGAUUUCUCUUUUGAAGUCCAGAAGGUGAAUUCUGUUCUGGCUUGAGGAAGAUGUGCAUUGAGAAAAGAUGUGGGGAUGGUCUGUAGGAAUGACAAAUUCUACUUAAUAUGCUUGUCAUGGUUAAAAUUCCGAAAGACAAACCUUUGAGGUUGAAAUAUGCUUACCAGUAGGAAUGGGAUAUCCACAUUACACCUUGUAAUGCAAUGCUUGAAAUGGGGGAAGUUGGAGGUGAAAUCUUUAGCCGCUUUACAAAGCUUUGCUGUAAUUUUUCUACCUGCUGGCCGCUUCCUCGAGGAAGAGGCUAAAUCUUUUUCCUCUGCUGAUUUUUUCUUAGCCUUCCCUCCAAUUUGAACUUGUGAUUUGGUCUUCACCAUAUCAGUAACGUCCAUUUCUUCUUCCUUAAUUUUUUCAGUCGAGUCUUGGUGCAUCCGGGUGAUUGAAACACAGUUCCUCUCGCAUCCACUUUUCUCAAAAAUUUGUACAUCAAAACACAUAUUGCCGUUGUAUCUGAGCACCAAGAAAUCCUUGUCCCCCAAGCAGUGAUUUUGGUAAAACUGCUGCCAACCAUGCUGCAUGAUUGUGCUUCUGUCCUGCUUGCACAUAGUAAUCUUCCAAUAAUCACCGGAAGGACCCCUCAGAACUGCUCUAGUGGGGAUUCUUUUUGGUAGAUGGGUUCUAACAAAAUGUGGUGGAAUUUCCUGGAAUAAAUUUGAGAGAGAAGUUUAAACAGCCAUGGACUGGAAAAGCAUAUAUUCAAUAUUGUGCAAAUCAUACAACCAUGUUUGAUGGACCCUUUCUAGGAUAUUUAAUAUUCAUAUAGAUCCUGUUGUAUCCUUAACUUUAUUGUAGAAUUCAAACUUUAUUAGGACUAUGCCUUUUUAACUGUUAUACCAAACACAAUCUUUCUGUCAUAUGAACCAGCAGUGCAUUUCUUCACCCACCCCUGAAACCCCCCCUACUCUUACCUUUCAUCAGUCAUUACCCAAUUCUAGGAUUACUCAAUCAAAACCUUAUCAGACUAGCCAUCAAAAUCUUAAAUGAACUUUUCUCAGUUUUCCUUUAAUUUUAUCAACAAAAAACAGACUGCAGCAGGUCUCAAAUUCAAAUUUAAAUAAAAACUUGAACAACAUUAUGUAAAACAGAAAAGAGAGGAGAAAGAAAGAAAACUUACAAAGAAAGACAUAUAAAAAACCAAAUCCAUUAUAUAUAUCCAUCAUCCUCUAAUUUCCAAGGCUAAACUUUCCCACAAACAUAAAAGAACAGAGCAGUUCGUAUGUAUAAAGGCUUGCAUAGUGCUUGUCUGCAACUCUAAAUAAACAAAUCACAGACAGUUUAAACAAACAACAGAAUGAAGAAUCAGAAACAUAGGAAAAAAGGCUGUUUUCCUUGGUAAAGUCUGCAGAGAAAAUGAAAGACAGAACAAGAAGGAAAAAUGCAGCAAACUUAUACUACAUCUUUCAUGUGCAAAAGCAUACAUAUACACAGGUCAUUUGCUUACAAAUGAACACAAAUAUCUCAGCAUUAAGUCAUCACUUCUGCUGGUAGUGUCGGGUAGCAUUAGCUACUCCCACUAACUGCUGAAUUUUUUUUUUUUUGAAAGUUGUUGUUCAUUCCAUAACAGAGGAUACUAAAGGUUCACCUCUGGGAGAAGUACAAACAUGAUUAAAGUCUGUUACUCACCUAUUUGGGGAUAACAGCCCUUAAUCACUACAUAGCCAAUCCCUUAAGGAUACAUCCAGAGAGAACACACACAAGCCUGCAGUACCCUUCCCAGAAAAAAACAGAGUCCAUCCUGUACCUUUCCAAAAGAAAAACCCAAGCAAAUCCCGCCACCCUCAAAAACUACUAGGUGGACAGGAUCAUAAACUGUACACAAUAUUCCACAACACCACCUCCCUAACGACCUAACAGGACAAUGGGUUAGCCACACAAAACAAGCUUACCCCUUAACCGACCUCAUGCCCCAGGUGGCUGCAUCAAAAAAGAACCCCUGGACUGUAGCAUACACAAACUGUGGUAUCCCUUCAAGAGGAGAGCCAUCAGCACCUUCUAUACAUAUCCUAGACCAUAUCCACCACUGAACCCCCAGUUACAAAAAGCAGUAGCUUCAAUGUCAUCAUAUCCUUUCCAUGGCCAGAAGCGAGGCUUCAUCCACAACCCCUCAGUAGAACGCAAGAACUUAGACACAGAACUUCCCCGACAUCCACCACAAUCCAAAAAACUUUGAACCCUCAUAGUGUCUCCCAAGAAUUAACCACUAAAACAAGUAUUAGGCAGACUAAACUUGCUCAGUUGUCUGCUAUGCUGCGGAAACCAGAACCAAAAACAAAGGCAUCGAACCAGACAUGUAUUUCAACUAGAAGAGUUAAAUAUUCAAAAACAAUCUCAAUUCUAACAGCAACCAAAAAAAAAGGACAGAGAAAUCACCAGGCUACGGCUAGCGUCACCCUUAUGUAGGAUGAACAUGGAGAAGGAUGGUCGGUUGUCGUGAUCCGGAAGAUUGCUUUCCACACCCUUUGAGCUCUUAUUCACCAUUUUCUUCUUUGACUCCAAAUGGCUUUGCAUUUUCUUUCUCUGGAACAAAAGGGGUUACAAAACAAAGCUAACUUUGUCAAAACAGAUUCCUCGUUCAAACUUUAUCUCUGGUUUCUAGUUUGUUAUGUUUUUAAAGCUUUCUCUCCAUUUUCAGUCCCAACUAUUUCCUCGUGUAACAAAGUUUUUCCAAAGUAUUAGAGGAACAAACGUUUUAUCAGAAAUAUAUCAAGUUAGCUUGCAAGAAUUAAAUGAAUAAUCUGGUGGUGAUAGAAGCAGUUAAUCCAACUUUCUUCAAUUAUCGAGUUCUGAGCUAUAACUCUGAAUUUUUUAGUGUUCUGACAGAAUUUUCAGAACAGCAUGCAUAUAUAGUUCUUCAGCAACAACUCUUUUUUGAGGUCCAUGCCAAAAGUACACUUAAAAUGGAAUAAAGACAAGCAUUGUUGACAUCUUCAGAUGGGAUUCAAAGCAACUGGUCAUAUAUUCAAACCUUAAGGGACCAAAAAAAAAAAAAAAAAAAAAAAAAAAAAACAUCAACUUGACCUAAAAGUGGAACCGAGUUUUUAUCACAUUCCCCCUACUCACUCACUCACUGAGUUUUAAUCUCGCCUGCUUAACCCAAGCACCCACCGUGUGUCCCACCAACUCCCCUGCUUGUUUUUUAGUGGUUUUUUUUUUCCUUUUUUGUGCUGACCCACCAACUCACCAUCGGAAGUCAAGCAUAGUUUUACAUCAUUUUAAGGAAUAUUCAAUUUUAAUUGUAAUUUUCCAUUGCCAGUACUUCAACAACAAUCAAGUUAUAUAAUAAUUUACAUAAAAAAAUUAUAAAAAGUAUGUUUAUGUUGAAAAUUGUAAGGAGAGUGCAACCUUCUCUAUAGCUAUCCUCAAUCUACUACUAGCAUUAUAAUUAAACAUGAGAAUUCGACAGCAUAACUUGACAUAAUAAAUCAGUAAUUCUAAUAAUAGUACAAUGCAAGAUCAAUUAUAUCCCGAGUUUUGACAAAGACUGAAUAAGUUUUUACUCUGUUAGCACAUUUUUUCCCCUUAAAGAUGAAAAAGAUGGGCAUUUAAGUUACAAUAAGUAUUAGUACUUGGUGAGAAAAUUGUUUAUUAUGGGCAAAAGUGUCAACCCCAUCAAUUAUUCAAUAUUUCAUUAUUUUUUAUUAAAAAUAUUUGGUAAAAGACAGAUUCAUGGUGAGUUUGGUUGGAACUCAUUUUUAGGUGACUGGGUCGAGUCAGCAAGAGAAAGAAGGGGAGAGCACUGAGUCAAAGGUUGGCAAAAGAAGACAGUGUCGUCCUGAGUCGUGUGACCCGAGCAAUUCUCUCAGCAAAGGGGGAUCCUUUUAUUUAUUCCAUUCGUCUAGGACAAAGACUUUUGGACACGUGUCAAGCCAGGGUGGAUGGGGACCACGACCAGAAUCACAUGCACAGCAAAAUGAAGAAAAGCAAGAAGCGACCUUUUUAUUACACCUUCAUGACUUCAUUGCUCCCUUACUGCCUGAAGUUGUUGGGCCUCUAAAUCUCAACCAAUCAAAUAAUUCAUUCAUCUUUGUUUUUUUCUGCUCUUCCAAAUCAACCCACACUUUGGAUUACUUAGGCUUAAAAUCUUCUCAAUUCUUCAUCAUAUGCUAUGGUGAUGCAUUUGUUGGUCCCCCAACUUCUGUUUAUGAUGGCAUCAAUUUUUAUGUUUUGCAGAGUGAUGUUAAUGCAAAUAAAAAUACCCAACAGAGUAGUGGUUUAAUAUGAGCUUUCAGUUUGUAUAUGCAUAGGGUUUCCUCAAUAAAUAUAUCAAUAUAUCCUGGAAAGAAAAUUUAUUGCAUGGAAUCAAUGAUGACAUGUAAUCUGGGUAAAGCCUUUGAUAAUUUGGGAAAAGAAAGGGAAUAUUUGCUUUUUAUUCAUAAUAAUGAUCUUGAUAUAGGGCAAUUAAAACAAACUAGUAUAUUAAAGUUGUUAAAUUGUUGAAACAAGGGAGGCAAAACGGUAAAAGAUAUUUGACAGUUGCAAAGCUGCAAUCAUGCAUGGAAGAGAUGGUUCUUGGACGUACGUUCCACAAUUUGAAGUUAACAAUUCCAAGUCAUAUAGGUUAAAAGUCAUGCGAAGUAAAGAGGGUAGAGUAAGACCAAUCAGUCAGAGGUUGAUCAAACUUGUACAAACAGUUGACUGCAGUUUUCUCUCUCAGUGGGAAAAAUAUGGACUCUCAUUUCUCGAGGUGCCACAAGUUCAAAGACACAACUGUCAUCCAUCUCCAGCUUGUUAUCAACUGCAAAUCUUCGCCAACCUUUGGAGAAAACCUUGUUGGUGUCAGUGUAUAGCAAAGUCACCUCCCAAGAUUUCUCUUUUGAAGUCCAGAAGGUGAAUUCUGUUCUGGCUUGAGGAAGAUGUGCAUUGAGAAAAGAUGUGGGGAUGGUCUGUAGGAAUGACAAAUUCUACUUAAUAUGCUUGUUGUGGUUAAAAUUCCAAAAAACAAACCAUUGAGGUUGAAAAUGCUUACCAGUAGGAAUGGGACCUCCACAUUACACCGUGUAAUGCAAUGCUUGAAAUGAGGGAAGUUGGAGGUGAAAUUUUUAGCCGCUUUACAAAGCUUUGCUGUAAUUUUUCUACCUGCUGGCCGCUUCCUCGAGGAAGAGGCUAAAUCUUUUUCCUCUGCUGAUUUUUUCUUAGCCUUCCCUCCAAUUUGAACUUGUGAUUUGGUCUUCACCGUAUCAGUAACGUCCAUUUCUUCUUCCUUAAUUUUUUUCAGUCGAGUCUUGGUGCAUCCGGGUGAUUGAAACACAGUUCCUCUCGCAUCCACUUUUCUCAAAAAUUUGUACAUCAAAACACAUAUUGCGGUUGUAUCUGAACACCAAGAAAUCCUUGUCCCCCAAGCAGUGAUUCGGUCCUGCUUGCACAUUGUAAUCUUCGAAAAAUCACCGGAUGGACCCCUAAGAACUGCUCUAGUGGGCAUUCUUUUUGGUAGAUGGGUUCUAAUAAAAUGUGGUGGGAUUUCCUGGAAUAAAUUUGAGAGAGAAGUGUAAACAGCCAUGGACUGGAAAAGCAUCUAUUCAAUAUUGUGCAAAUCAUACAACCAUGUUUGGUGGAUCCUUUCUAGGAUAUUUAAUAUUCAUAUAGAUCUUGUUGUAUCCUUAACUUUAUUGUAGAAUUCAAACUUUAUUAGGACUAUGCCUUUUUAACUGUUAUACCAAACACAAUCUUUCUGUCAUAUGAAUCAGCAGUGCAUUUCUUCACCCACCCCUGAAAAACCCCCCUACUCUUACCUUUCAUCAGUCAUUACCCAAUUCUAGGAUUACUUAAUUGUUCUGCAUUCAUCAAGAAACAAAGAUAAAAUGGAAAAAGGGACAGAUUUGAUUACUUUGAGUUAAAUGGUAAGUAAGAUUAAGGUAAUGGCAAGCCUGAAUUAAUUUUUUUUAAAAAAGGUAGAAACAUUGUCAAGUAAUUCAUGGGCCAAGUGAUAUUUCUUUGUCCAUUUCUAUAUUUUGGGCUAAACCUGAUUUCGUGCACUCAAGGCUUGUGUCUAACCUGGUUAAAGCCAUUAAAAAGGCAAAGGAUUGUCCAUUUUUCACUACAAUAUUUAGCCCAAAAAAGAUAUAUAUUAUACACGUUUGAUUCGGCUUUUCUUUUCAGUUUUUGACUCCCAACUUCCAUGUAACCGUUUCGGGGACAAAGAUCCAUCUGGCCUGCCGAUAUAACCGUUUGGCGCGUCCUAGGUUUCUUCCCAUGAACGUCAAAAGCCCCACCAAUUGUCUCAUCCCAAAUCUUGCACAUAUUAAACCAAAGCACACACAAUUUAUUAAAUUCUUUUCUUCACCCCAGCCUCUCUUUUCUCCUUUUAAUUCACAAAAAGAGAUGAACAUAAAAGGAAAAAAAAAUCAUAGCAAUCGAGUUCUAAGACCAUCUUUGGUGCCUUUGAACAAUAUUGAAUUUUAUGCAGACAUUCUGGUAUGUUUUUGGUCUUUGGUUCUUUAUGAAUUGUUUAUGUUGGUUGCUUCAUUAGCUGGAACUUAAAUUCUAUGGUUGUUACUUGCUAGAUCCUUAAUUUUGUUUACCCUUGUAUAUUGUCAUGGUAAGUUUGUUAGUGUUAUGAUUCUUCUACAUGCAAGUUUUAUUUACCCAUUGGGAUGUUAAUGAUUGUGAGUCCAAGGGUUUUGUUUUUCUUCUUUGGAAUUUAGUAUUAGCAUUGAGUUUUUGUUAUUCUUCUUUGUUAUCAUCACCAAACAAAGAAAUUAAUUCUUCUCCUUUCGAUUAAUUGCAUAUCCAAGCCAGAGCUCAAAGUUUUUCACGAUCUUUCAGAGGUGUUCAGAAGAAUUGGAGGAGGAAGUGUGCCCAUCAUGAGGAGAACGAUCAUGGUGACACAAAUGAUGGUUGUGAUGACGAUGAUGAGGAUGAUGAUUGCUGCAAUUGCAGAUGAUACUAAUGGUGUUUUUAGCCCUUGUGAGGAUUCAAAAGUACAGAAAUCAGAUGGAUUCACCUUUGGUCUUGCGUUCUCGAAGAAGGAAUCUUUUUUCUUUGAUAAUGUUCAGCUUUCGCCCUGUGAUAGUCGGCUUGCCUUAGCCAGUAAAAUGGCCCCACUAGCUGUAUUUAGGCCAAAGGUGGAUGAGAUUUCUCUCCUUACCAUCAAUGGUAGCAUUCCUGUAAGUAUUUGCAUCUCUUGAAACUCUCCAUUUUUAACCUCUGGGUAGUUAGCUAGAACAAUUUUUUUUUUUUUUGUAUAUUUUGCCAUAGACAAAGAUUUUUAUUAAUUCAAGCAAUACUUCGCAUCUCAUAUGCCUUCCAUGAAGUCGAAUGAUAGAGAUUGCUCAGCACAAUGUUUUUAUAACUUCAUAUUAUGUCAAAAGUGUGAUAUCCAUGGCAUCAUUUGGUGCUUCUUUCUUGGUUCUGCAUUUAUAUCGUGUUGGACAAUGACGUUUGAACCAAUACUGAUUACUGACAUUUUCAUCUAUAUAUUUUUCAUAAGCUAAUUUAAUUCUAGAGAAAUCCUCGAAAAAUCAUAUCAUGCCAUCAUGCACAAGCUGGUUUACCCCUCAGAUGUCAAUUCGUUAAACAUGUUGAAAAUUUUUUGUAAUAAGGUCUCGUUUUAGCCACGCUUGACAUAUAGACUUUUUGGGCCUGCACUUUCCAUUUCUGUUUCUCUCCAGUGCUUUCUAUUUUCUCCAUCCCCUAGGCAUAGCAAAUACUUGCAAGAUAACAAAAUCUUAAGUAAAAAAUUACCCGAUUUGGGUUUAAUUAUUUCAUGAUUCUGGAAAUUUCAGAGGUCACUGUAGUUUGAUCAGGGUAAUUUUCUGAAAUGCUCUGUGUUUAUCAAGAUUAUUACUUUACUUUGAUCUGGAGAGCAGGCAAACACAAACAAUAAAUCCACUUUCUCAAGUUUUCCUUGAAUUGGAAAGUAAUGACUUAAUGAAAUCAUAUAUAUAUUCUCUUUUAUAUUCAGUGGCUGUAUCUCUAGCUUUGACCUUCAAGCAGAGCAAGGAGAAUAUUUGCUUCACAACUUCACUGUUCUUUAGUUCCUUGCUCUUUGAGGAAAGUUGAGAACCUUUUUGUGUUUAUAGAAUUGCUAGUGCAAGAACAGUGAAGUAGUUAAUACUUCUGCUGCUUAUUCAUGCCCGAUCAUAAACUUGUUUUCUGAUGAGAAAUUUACAACGUACAUCAAUGAAAAUGUUAAUAAAGUGAUGCAAUCUGAAUAUGUGAUUUUUAUAAAAUUUUCCAGCUUGUAGCCGGUGGAUUCAUGGUAGCAUUUGCAGGAAGGAAGUAUGCAGCCAGGUCAUUUCCAGUAAUGGUUGCUGAUGAUCGAAAUACCAUAACUAGUUUCACUUUGGUAUGCUCAUUACAAGCUGGCAUAUUUCUUCUAUCUUGCUGUGCUAGUAUGACAGAAAUGGAGUUUGUUUGUAUUUUGUUGUUACACAGGUACUUGAAUUCCAUAAGGGUACUCUUCAAAAUUUACACUGGAAAAGUUUUGGUUGUGAUUCAUGUUCUGGGGAGUCUGCUGUUUGCCUCAACAAUCAAGACUGUGCAAUACCAACCCCAAAAUGUGGGCAUACUGGGUGCAGCUUGGGCAUACAGUUAGCAUUUUCUGGCACAGACAAGAACCUUGAACCACUGAAUUCAUGGUAUGAAGUGAACAAAAUUCGGCAAUAUUCUCUCUAUGGCCUAUACUCAGAUCUGCGUGAUUCGAUUACCAAUUCUAUUCCUGGUUUUAUUCCCCACCAAUAACAAGCUUUUCUAAGCCUUCUACUGGCUUAUUCAACAGCUGAGGAUGUACACGAUGGUCCUGAACUAAAUUAUAUGUAUGACUAGGAAGCUAAAUAGGCCGGAACUAAUUACCUGUCCAUGUCAAUGAAUAGCCAGUUUAGCACGAGAAAGCAAUGGAUAUUUGGCUGAUGUUAUGAAUUGGUUGGACUUUUACCACAUCUUUCAGGGAAUUGUGCACAGAAUGGUUUUAAAGAAUAUUAGAGGGUUGCUUCACCGUUCAUUUUCUCCCCUUUAUGCAUCCGAAGUUGACCAUGAUGAGUUUGGAUGAGGUAAUGAGCUACAGACAUAAGACCCAGCCCUUUUUAACUUACACAACAUCAAUACAAUUACCAAGUUAAUUAGUAACGACAUACAUUCCCAGUUCCCACAUAUGCCAAAUAUAUUUUUCUAGGCUUUAUUAGAACUUCACAACAGUAAAAUACGGAGCACAAACUCGGUUUCAGUGUAUUAUAAUGUAUAACUUUUCUGUAGAUAAGCUGCAGUUGCAAAUUCCACGACAAACAGGACAAAUCCAACUGGGAUUUUGGUUUACUUCAGUUCACAUUCUCCCCACCCCUUUACAAAUAGACCCAAAAUCUUGAUUAGGUUUUGGGGAAGUAAAAUAGUACUACCACGAAAAUGGUAGAAAAUAAAAAUAAUUAACUCGUGUAUAAGUAAUCUCCACAAAGUUGGCCUUGGACCAACCUGCAUUUGCUGCAAUGUGUAAGGUGGCCAAGAGUUUUGUGUCUGCGAAAUGGAAACAGGUUAUCCCUAUCCAUGCGUUUUUGACAAUAGAAGAAAAGGGGGAUGAAAUGGAAAAAACCUGUAUUGAGUUUACCUGCAUUGAUGACAUGUCUCUCCUUUGACUGGGACCACAUAUGCGACUGGGACCAGAUAUGCGUUUCCCAUCCACAAGCAGAGUCCAGUUCAUUCUGCGAUCACCCAAAAGCUUUUCUCGCUCCCUAUGCAGUUCCGGUUUCAAACCUUCUUCUAACUGAAUCUCAAUCUCAAAAAUUAAAAAAAAAAAAAACCAACAACAAAGCAUACCCUUAAAAACAAAAAUCCUUAAGUGUUCAAAGUUCAAACAAUCAAAGAGACGCUAAAUUCCAAAACCUAUCGUGAAUGGUGAUGAAUGAAUAUCGAAUAUCACUGACCGUGUUUCUUAAAUGUCCCAAUACAAAUCAACACAAAAUUCCUACUGAAUGGCUGUUGUUAAAAAAAGCAAAAGAAAAACAAUAAUUGAUUUCUAUACAGAAUAAAUCUACAUCCCUGUACAUUACACAAUGUGAAAAGAAGAAAACCUAUUUUCCUAAAUCCCAAAAAGAUCCAUAUAAUUUAAUUUGUAUAAUGAAAAUCAGAGGCACAGCCACUGAGUCGAAUGGUGCACAACGACCACAUCGGUCUUCAGGUUCCUUGAAUACAUGUUCCUUUCUAAGCUUUCUGGAUCAUUGACACAAAAUCUGUUUCUGAGCAGAACCAGAAUCCACAAUUCCUAGGCGACUUUAGUAUGUUUCUUGCCAAACUAGAAACCACGAUUCCUACGCAACUUUAGUAUGUUUCUUGCCAUGAAGAUCCUUCACUAGAUCCCGCAGCUCAGGGAAAACCGAUAUGAGUAGAAGUUCUAAUAUUGCAUAAGCAAGCUGCUUCACACAUAUAGUAGACUGCAAUGGGUAAUAACAUAUAAAUAUACUCAGAAAGUCAAAACUACCAAAAUAAAAAGAAAGUAAAGAAAAAUAUCAGCGACCUAGUUCAUGCGACAGAAGGAUAAAAGCUCAACCUGAGUGAAAUAAUAUAUGUCUCUUGCACACCGUCUGUAUUGCUUAUGCCCGAUCAAGCUAACUAAGGUCGUUGGAGCUCCAUCUGACAAAAAAAGCAAUAUUUUAGAGAUUUUCACCAUUCCUGAGGUCCUAGCUCCAGGGGACAUACAUGUAUAUAUACAUAUAAAUUAAUAAUGAAGUACUUUAAUAAACUAUCUCAAUUAACAUGUACAAUGAUUUGCACGACAUAAACUACAUAAACUAUCUCAAUAAACAACGACUUCAGAAUUUUAAUUAAAAAUAUAACCAUUGAACACUUGCCCAAGCCAUUUAAAACAAUGAUCAAGUGAACUUGCAUCCACAGAUCCAAAAGUCUUGGCACAUCUUCACUCUGAUCUGACAAGAAGAAGAUAUCAAUAACACAAAAACAUACUUACCAAAAAGCAUUUUUUUUAUGUCACUUGCUCUACGAGUAGCCUCAAGUUGCUGCUCAAAGGACCCAGGUUUAGAGACAUUACUGCCACCAAAUUGGCUAAAGUUCUCCGAAGGUGUCUGAUUAGGAUGACAAUUAUCAAAUUUGCUCUGAAUGUUCCCUACCCUUGUAAAGAAUGUACCACCUGGCCACAGAACCUGAGAGAAGAAGAGGCCAUUAGAAGAAACAGAGAACUUGCACAAGGCUCUUCAAGAGUCUUUUGACUAGGUAACAAGUGACAUUGGCUCAUUGGUCUCAAAAAUUGGGCUACAGCUGAGCCUCAGCCAGUCACAGUUCUCAUUCAGACCUGAGUUCAGGUUGAAGACCCCAAUACCAUAUAUACACUGUGUUUUGAAACAGACAGCCAUCUAAAAGUUUAUAUACCACUAGCAGCAGCCUUUAAUGUCAAAGCUCAUGCUUUUACAGCACCAGACGCUGAACCAGUUAACACUAAAAGUUAAUGUAUAAUGUUUCUAAUGUAUUCAGCCUUACAUCUUGAACCCACCGAAUCCCUUGGGCAACAGUUUCCUCAGUCCGAAGGCAGUAAAUCUGCCUCAAAAGCCAGUCAUCAAUGGCAUCUUCCAUCACCAGCUGUAAUAUUUGCUUAGAUAUCCAAAAGACCUGUCUUCUGCAUCAAUGACAACAAGCACAUGUUUAUGCAAAAUUAUAAAGGAAAUAAGUCAUUUUAGAACACCAUGAAGUAGCCAAAAGACUCCUGUCAUUACUUAUUGAACAACAGAAAAUUCAGCAAGCCAUUAUAUAAUUUGCUAGUUCCACAAUAGGUAAUCAACUCACCAUAUCAACCACUCCUAUGCUAGGAAACAGCACUGUAUACUACUUGAACACAUGAUCAAAUAUGCCCUUUUCAUAAUCAACCUAACCUAAACUGACUGCAUAACUUAAUGAUAAAUCAAAAUGACAGGUAAACAAGCAUUAGUAAAACAAAGGUACAAGGUACAAUAUCCUUCUAGGAGAAUCUUUCCAUAUUAUAAUUACUGAAUAAAAGAAGACAUUACCAUGACGUUUUAGCAAUUACUUAAUUCCCAAUUAUGGAAAUAAAGCAAAAAAAGCUCACCUUAGCCAGCCUCUUCUCUUAAGCUGAAACACAUUGUCAACUAGAUUCAGCAAAGGUACGCUCACAUUAGGUGGUGUCCACUACACAAAAAUCAAUAGGUAAGCAUCCAUAAAAUUCCAAACAUAGGAAUAGAAUGCUCUUCCUAAAAUGGAGUUAGCUAACAAAACUCAAACUAUUCAAUCAAAAGAUCAUUAAUAAUAGGGAUGGAUCACAGCCAGACAGACACCAAAGAAAAAGGUUGCAGUAGAAAAUUUGUGCAACCAACCCAGAAAAUUGAAAACCUAGUAAUGAAGCUAACUUUUGGUUGAGAUUCUUAUGAAUGCAAUCCCCAAUUUUAUUGAUAAAGUUGCAAAGCUGACAGUUUAGAGGCAUACACUCACAAGAAAAGAAAAAUUAAGUAUUGGUUGACUGUCAAAAAAUUUCUUUUAGUAUAUGCUAAAUUCUUCUCAGAAAAAAGGAACUAAAAAUAAUAAUUAAAAAAAAAAAACCCACAACAACAACAAUAACAGGAGAACAACAGAGCUAAAGCAUAAUACCUCAGGGGGCAUUCCAACUGGAUCCUCCAAAUAACUGGAGGUUGCUGAUAACUUUAUGGCAGGAAAUCCACCCUGGCCAACUGAUUCAGGUUUCACACCUAAAUUAUGAUUUUCAGAAACUAAAUUACCAGACACUCCACCACGCUCUAUCACCCGUGGUGGCAAACUCUUUGAGUUCAAUUCAUUGUCUGAGUGCCAACCAUGACCUUGUGGACCAGAUCUGUCAUCCUGGUGAUCAUGGCUACCAUCUUUGUCACCAUCUUCAUUAUCAGAAGCACUGUUCACUGUUUCUAAAUUACUUUGCCUUGAAAUAUCUUUAGCCAUCUCAUCUGCAGUCCAUGACAAGGUCCUACCAGUGACUGAAGAUGAGGCUUCACUGGGGGGAGAAGAUGAACCGACAACUUUGCGCAUUAAGCCAUCGGAUACUCCUCUAAAUUGGCGUACGAUAUCAUCCACGGCAUCAUCCACAUUGACUGUUCAUAAACAAGAAAACGGGGAAAUUGUCAGGAAGUAAUCUGAACAAAAAAUGGUCAUUUAUAAGCAAGACAUCAGCCAAGUUAAAAUAAAAUUCUAAACUAUAAAUGGUAGAAUCAAACCAAUAACCAAAAGGAUCUAUGCAUGAUUUUGAGUAAAUUGGACAUAGAAUAUGAGUCCUUCACCAUUUACCAUUCUCAAAAGACAACAAAUUUAACAUGACAGUUCUCUUUCCAAAUGAGGGAGAAAAGGAAGUGAUUCACAUGUAUACGGAUGAUAUAAUCUGUAUAAGAAUUCAAAAUGAUGCUUGAGCCUUUGAAAAUAUAUGCAGGGACGAAUAAUACUUCCCAUCAUUAAACACAAUAUUUUAUAAAAAUGAAAAUGCCAAUAAAAAGAACAAAAACCGAGCAAAUUCAGCACAUAGUACACAACAAAGAGAAGGAGAAUAAUAAACACAAAUAGGUUUUUUAUUUUGCAAUCACUUAAAAUUAACAGCAAACCACCUUAACCAGUAAAAUGGAGAAGACUGAAAUGCAUCCAAAAUUUGGCUCAAUGGCAGUAUCCCCUGCUCAAAGAGCUAGAUUCAAAUCUUUCUUCCCCCAAUAAAAAAAAUAAAACAAAAUGGAGAAAAGAUAUACUGCUGAAAGAUCAUGCAACAAAUUAAGCCAAAGAUAAAGGAUGGAAAUAAAUCAACUGUGGAGCAUUUCCACAAAAGUAUAAAUUAAAGCAAAAGAAAAAGGCCAGAGUAAUCAAAUGAACUUUACACAACCAUAAAAAAAAAUUUUAAAAGAUGAUGAAGUAUUUAUAAGAAAUCUGGGGAUCAAAAAGUUUUAAACAAGAAACAAGAUAUGUCUAUCUCUGAAAGCUGAUAUAGGUAAAACAUGUCAGUAUAAAAGAUGAAACCAGUAAUAGAGCUAAACCUCAUCUACCAGACAACUUAAUGACAAAUGGAAAGGUGACACACAUGACUGCAUUCCGGAAAUUAUAGAUGCCUACUAGGAGUUUCUCUAAACCGUUUUUAUUUUUCUGCAAGACCUUGAUGAAUUGAACUAGUGGAACCACAAGGUGGAACAUAUUCUAAUGUUGGCAGCAGCUUACAGCUGGAACCCAGAUGUCUAAACAGCAAGAAUGACAUAAUAACCAAGAACAGAAAAAACAUACCUGCAAGGGUUCUCAUCACUGAUGAAGAUUUUCCAAAAGAGUAAUUCUUCAAAAGCAAAAUGCAACAAUAAAUAGACUCAGAUGUCAUUAUCCUACCCUUAAAAAUUAAAGUAACACUCCCAUGUCAAGAAGAUACACACCUUUGAGGAAACACUCAAAAAAUCCCACACUUCAUGCUGUUCAGCAACAUUGGCUAUAGACAACAGAUCCUGCAAAAAGGUGGCUUAAUUGAAGCAACAGGUUUAAAAGUAUGCGUACUACAAAAAAGAAAGUGUAGGUAGUAAAUUACUUGCAGAUAUUUGUCAAGCUGAAUGCAGCGCUGAUGAACAAAAGCAUCCUCAGUGCUUGAUGAAAAUAUCCUUUUGGGUGGCAGAUGUAAUGUAUAAUUAGGAAUUUCUUUAAGAAUUCGAUGCAACCGUUCAAAAUUCCUGUAUCUGCAAAUUAAAAAUAAUGAAACAAAAUUAAACCUUUAAAAAAGUAACUAAAGCAACUUUGUGGGAGCUUUCAGUUGUUAUGUUGAGAUGAAUAUAAAGUGACUUAAACCUUAAAGACUUUAAAAUUUCAGAGAUACAUUCAACUGAUAAUGGCCCUUAAACAAAUUGCUUUUUCAUUCUUUUAAAAUUAAAAAAAAAGGUUAGGUGAGAUAAAACCUUCUCUUGACAAACCAAGUUCUUUUUUCUGCAUCUGUCACCGCAAUUGAAUAAACUGCAAAAGAUUUUGAUCCAAGUUUCUCAAAGUAUGCUCCAAUAACCUGCAGAGGUAGACAAGGAAUAGCAAAUCCAAUUAUAGAUCACAGCAAAUGUACAUGGCAACAAUUCAACACUACCAAGUUCAAGAAGUUGUUUUAAUCGAUAUCCCACACCAUAUAAGGAUUCAGCUGGCAGUUCAAAUUUCAAAUUUGCAUAACUCACAGCAAUAUUGACAGGAUUGCUCACCCGGCACCUAAGCAUGGGAAUAUGUGGCCCCUCAUUGCGGAAUACUAUAUUUGAGGCAAUUUUACCCCUAUAUCCUUCAGUAUGCCUGCCAAAAUCAGGGCUGUAGAACUCUGAAAUAAUAGGCCCUCCAACAUCUCCAGUCAGUGCCUUCUUUGUAUCAGGUUCAACUUUCAAAUCGGAGGUACUACUGGAUCUCUUAAGCCUACUUUUAUUUCCAUCAGCAGCUUGCUCACUAGCAACAAUAAAUUUGUUAACAAGAUGAUCUCCUUCAAAUGAUGAUGACUUGUUAAACUCCAAAGCUAAAUUUGUGCCUUUCAUGUUACCAUCACAUAAUUGAGUGUCAAGACUUAAACCAGGCAUUAGCUGCAUCACAGUUUUCUCUUCCCUUCCUGUAGAAGUUCCAAUCUUGUUGGUAGAGAUUUCACUUCCUGAAUUCCCAAUCAAUAUAGCACUCUUUGUCACAGAACCCUUUGGAAUAGAUUCUUGAACUGCUGCUUUUACAUAUUUGUUCUCUUUCUUUUUGUAGUUUCUUCCUUUUGUCCACAUGUUAUCAAGAUUUUCAGGAGCAAGAAUUUCAGUUCUUCUCUGGGUUGCUGCCUCUAAGAUUCGAGCCCAAUCAGCUGGUCUCAGCUGCUCUGAUUCUUCCUUGUAUCUGCUAUGAUCUGAAUAUGUUUCUUUCUGAUUGUCAAUUGUAGCCAAAGUCAAAUCAGUUCCUUGACUGUUUAAGGACGAAAUCUUGCUUGAAGUAGAAUCAGCACCAUGCACUCCCACUGAAGACUGAUCAAAACCUACCACCAUCUUAUUCAUAUCAUCUUUAAUGGCGAGUAGAAUAUAUUCAAUCACUUCAUUGAUAUACCUGACAACAAAACAUAAGGGGAAAAAAAGAUGGAAUAAUAUUUUUUAAGGCAAGGACCAAAGCUUAUAUUCAGGAAACAUGAAGUGCUUGUAAGUUCAUCAUGAGUAGCCUUUUAAACAUUCUCCACCUAUUCUUUUACAUUUGGUCAAUAGUAAGAUUCUAAUCAUGAUUCCACUCCACUUGUAUAAAUGCCAUUCCUUGCAGGAUGGAUUGUAUUCUAAUUAUUCCACUCUUUUUAAAAGCCAAAUAACCACUAAAUAAGAAUGCAUUUCCCCAUCAACCUAAAACUUUCAGCUAACUCAGUUAAAGGGAACUGCAAUCUUCAAUAUUAAGUACUAACUACAUUUUUGCUAUCUUAAUAAUUAAAAAGCAAUAAACUUUCACUCAAUAACUUACCCUGGGCUUGCCAAAUUCAUAAGAGGUUGCACUACCAAGCAAGUUACAAUCUCACGAGCAAUAGUUCGAACCAAAGGACAUUGAGCUUCUCGUGGCCUCAAUACUACUGCUAACACUCCACCAAUAAGCCUCUGAAUAACCUGAAAAAGAAAAUGUAUAAGGAAUUAAACUAAAGCAAACCAUAAACUGCGUAGGCCAAAUGUACUUUCAUCAGAACACUCCACUCACACCUUGUACUCACUCUCUGGUGAAAUUAAUGCAGGAUGAAGCUCUUCAGAAACCAUAAGAUGGUGUUUCAAUCUUUCAUCCCUCUCCUCAGAUGACAAUGUUACCAUAACAUCAACACCUAUUGCUGCUUGGUUUCUUCUAAAAAGAUCCAAGUGAUCUCUUAUCAAAUCAACUAUAUCCCUGAAAACAUUAGACAACCAUUUGAAAUCCUUGAGCUUUAAAAAUGUCAAAUAUUUUUACAAUUGACAGAGCUUCUUACACUACAAGCCUACCUUGUUAGCAAAUCAACAAGGUUUAUCUCUUUCACUCUCCCUGAUAUUUCACCGAUAGCAUCCAAAAUCACUGUACGGAUCAACUCAGGGGCCUCCCUAUCUGGAGUGAUCUCCGAGUACCACAAAUCAACAACAAAAUCCUUAAGUAUUUUAUCAAUGAACUCAUUGAGAGCAGUCUCCACCUUAGGAGAAUCAAUUUUCCGCUUCCACUUGGGUGGAGGCGGUGAGCUGGAAAGACGGGAAUCAUUCAAAGACAACUGUUUCUUCUCCAAAUAAGACAAAAAAGUUUGCGGACGAACUGAUUGAACUUUCCAUUUGAACUCAACCUCAUUGGAAAUAAUUCGAAAUGCAGCAACAAUAAGAAUUGCUAUAGGUAAAUUCAUCCACAUUGAUGUACUCGUAUCUGCAUCAAUUAACAAAGCAGAAUAACCAAAAAAACACUCUUACAAACUUCAAAAAAAUAGUUUUAAUUAAUUCCUAAAAACAAAAAAGAAACCGCAUUAACGUAAAAUACCAGUAGAAAACCCUAACUUAAUCAAUUAAAAGAAAUUUAAAAUCCAACGUUUAAUUGAUUCCAAUUUCUCCGGAAUUGUCUUCAAACUUUUAAUAAAAACAAUUCUAAGAAAAUUAACUAUCCAAAUGAAGUAAAAUCAAAGAAUUCGCCAAAAACAAAAAAAAAAAUUAAAUAGCUAAAAGAAAAAACGAGCAUAGAACAAAGAUUAUUUUUGGAAUAUUAUCCAUAAACUUACGAGUCAAGAAGUAAGUGACGGCAAAGAUAACCAUGGCCCACGUAACCGUCCGGAAUUUGGCUUCGUCGAUCAGAUCCUGUAUCGUCUCCAUCGGCUUCAUUUUCCAGCUUUUUCUUUUUCUUUUGAUUUUUCUCCCUCCGAUUCUUUUUCCUAAUCUUGGAAUUUCAGAAUUAUCAAGUCUUUCUUAACAUGGAAGACAAUUAAUCGCCGGAGACGAAACAAAAGAGUUUUUUCUCUUAUUCUUCUAUGUGUUGUUCGACCAGCUUCCGCGUCAGCGGUGUUAAUUUGGGAUUAAAAAGACAAGAAAGUAAUAACAGAGGGGAAAAGAGAGUAUCUGGAAUUUCUUGGUUUUUUUUUUUUAAAUAAAAUUGGUCUUAAUAGACAGCAACAAAAUGCGUCGCAAAAGGAAAGAAGGAUAAAUAUUUUGGACAUGAUCUCGUGCAGAAACUGGGCGUUGGAGUUUCUUCGCCCGACUGGCAACUACCCUCUAAAUUCUUGCCACGUAAGAAAUUUGACAGGUUAUCUCCUGUAACAAUGGCAUACAAUUAAUUAAUUACACCUUACAGAUUAUUACAUUAAUUUUUAUUGUAAUUAAAAAUUAUUUUAUAAAAAAUUGCCAGUAAAAUACUUUGGAAUUUUAUGCUUCAUUAAAUAUUUUCGUGUAUCAUGCUUUUCACAUGGGUAAUGCUAUGGCUGUCAUAAAAAACUAAUAAUACUAAAAAAUAUAAGUGGAUAUGCAUUGCCUGACAGCAAUAACAUAGCACAUGUAAAAAUUAUAGUCGAUUAUGAAAUGUUAAAUGUUCUAUGAUUGCAUUUUAUAUUAUUAUAUCAAUUUAAAAAUUUUCUCAUUUUACGUUUAGGUUAUGAACUUGAAAAAAAAAAUUCAAACCCUAUUUACAUAAAAAAAAUUACAUAUUAAUUAAUAAAUCAAAUACUCAUAUACUAAAUUAUAAAUAACUUUUAACUGAUAACAACUUUUGUGAUAAGAAUAGAUUUUUUAUAACUCAUCUCUAAAGGGGAAGUCCAAAGAUUGUAGUGCACAUGAAAUGCUCGUUGGAUUUGGCCAAAGCGAUAUGUCUUGUGCUGGUAUCCCAUUUACUGUUACAUCAAAGUGUGAAAUUAUUUUCUCUUAAAGGAAUAACAAAAUAGAAUAGUUUUAUUAAUACUUGCAAAUAAUUAAACACAACAAUGUUAUUGUAUAGUGUUUUAAACUUUCCUAACGACUUUAAAUAUAUGUAAUCCGAUGUACAUUAAUGUGAUUAUAUAUGUUAAUUAAAUAAUUUCUUUGUGUUUUUCUCUAAUAUAAUUUCUUGGUGCACUUGUUAUGAAUUUAAAUUGUUUGUAAAGUUUAAAAAAUUUAUUAUUAAUGCACAAGAUAAAAAAAAUAAAUCAUAAAUCUUGAAUAUUAUUGUUCUCAACUAAUUAUAAAAGAUAUGAAUAUUUAUUUUUUAUUUAGAAAAAAGAAAAAUUCAAAAUUUAUUAUUUUGAGAAAGGGAUUGUUUAUUAAUUACUGGGCCAUACGUUCGAGCCUUGGGAUUUACUCAUUUGCUUUGGGUCUAAAGGCCAUAUCAUGUUUGGGCUCGAGACUAGAAAUUAUGUUGCAAGCCCAGUCAGAAAUAAUCUUUUUCUUUUUUUUUUUAAGAUUUUUAUCAGAUUGACUAUUCUUUGCGGUAUUCUUUGCGGUGGAUGAAAAGACAACUUAUCCACGAAACAAGCAAUGAGAGGCCAAAAAGCCCAAUAAGUGCAAAAACAGUGGGCGCACCUGCUGCUGAAUCAUUCCCACUUUGCUAAUCAAGAACCAUCCAAUCCAACGGCCCUUAUUUUAAGAUCAAACCCAACCAAUACAAAUCCAACGGCCACGAUUCGCCUGUCACCCCAAUAAUAAGAAUAGUCAACCCAAAAUAUCCUAAUCCCCUUAAUAGCAAUAAAAUAUCGUGGAUCCUUAUCCAGUUCGGUCCACUAUUUAACCGCAUCGCCACAUAAUCAUCUUCUUGAUCUUGAGCAAAACAAGAUUUAGCGGAAAAGAAAGAAAACUCCGUGUUUUUGUGUCCGUUUGGUUGCGAUGAUAAAGUCGGUUCAACUCCGUACCUAUUCGUCUCCUAUCCUGGUCGAGGCUAAAGAUAUCCACCGUACUGGAUUAUCACCGUCGUCGAAAACGAGAUUCGCUUCGACGAUUCGUUGUUCCUCGAGCAGCGACGCUUACAUACCGAAGCUCGAGCCUUUUAGCAGAACAAAAUUCGAGCGUGCCGUUAAAGAGCCUCCCUUGAUCGAGAAAUCCGAGAACGAGCUCGCUGGUACGUAAUUAAUUUUAUAACAUUUUUAAACUUAGGUGAUAGUAUUUACUUCGUUAUUUUUAUUGAUUUCGGUGAAAUUUUGAAAUUUUCAGAUUAUUGUUCGACGCUUGAAGGAGACGAUUCUUAUAGUUGCUGGAGAGCUUAUUUCGAACUAAAAGAUCUUGAGGCAAGUUUUUUAGAUUUUAAAUUUAAGCAUUGCACCUGUUUGGAUGAUGAGAAAAUACAGAAAAAAAAAAAGAAAGAAGAAGAAAGAAAAUAAGUACGUAUUAGUUUAACUAGUAUAAAAUAAGUACGCGACAAUCAAUUAAACUCUUUUGUGAAGCUUAUAAAAUCCAUAAUAAUUCGCAAUAUUUGUAUCUUAGUGAUGAGAUUGUGGUAGUUUUAUUAGGAAGCUACCAUGGACAGCCCCUUUUUUUUAGUUUAAUUAAUUUCUGUUUGAAUUUUUAGUAAAUAAAUCAAAGCAAAAGAAAAAAAAAUCUUUUUUAAUGUCAUAAUUGUAAUUUCCAAUUUUAAUUUUUCUCCUUAAUGCAUAACAGAGAGAGACACCGAAAGAAGAUGUAGAGAAGUUAAUUCUUCAAGCAGGGGGCGUUAAGUCGUUGAUUGGAUGCUUACAUGGAAUUGCUGCCAUCCACAACAAGGGAAACGGCAACGGUUAUUUUAGUAUGUCUAAGCCAUUGAAUACUGAAAAUGAAGGAAAAAGAUUCUACCAUAUCCCAGAUGGGUUGCCGAAAUCUGCAGAGGAAAUAGAGGAGGAAGAGAGAGCUAGAAUGCCUGAUUCGCCCUUUACUAGAUUGCUUAGAACUAAAGGCACGUCGCCUGCUUGGUACUCUCCCGUCCCUGACCACGAAACCGAUUGAUACACGAAACCUUGUAAUUGAAUUAGCAUAUGGCUUCAUUGUAGAUAAAAGUGUGGGGGAGUUUUUUAAGAGUCAAUUUUCUUUUGUUUCUAGCAAAAAAGUUUUCCAGGGGCUGUGACUGUGAAGCUCUGAGCUGUGUGAUAUUGGAAAAUGGGAUUGCUUUGGAGAGUUGUAUCAUAGUGGCAAAAUGACUGUUAUUGUUGAAAGUUUGCUUGCAUUGCCAGAACAAUAUUGUUCAUUGCUCAUUUUUGUAUCUAUAGUCAAAAUUUUCUUUGCUUUCAUUCAUACAAAGUAUAUUUGUACUACUAGGGAUGGAUUUUAGACAUGUGGUUCCUUGCAUUUGUGAUUAACAAGUUAUAAGAGAAGUACAGCCAAGCUAACAAAAUAGGAGCAGAACUAGGAAAUUAAGCAAAUGAUUACAUGCUCUUCCCAACAUAACGUGUUUAGUUGCUUGUGCACUUAAACUAAGGGCAAAUUUUUCAUUUAACCUCAAGUCGCAGUAAUUUGAGUUGCAAUCCAAGUGGCAGUCAGAACCAGUGCAGUAAAAUUCUUCACAUUCUAGAACCACAGCAGGUUUUGAGACGAUUCUGUGUCACAUCCAAUUAUGUUGUGGCCAGUGGGGACAAACUAUUUUGGAUUGAAAAUCCCAGGUCUUCUUUUAUGUAGUUAAAUAGUGAGCAUGAAUCUUGUGAAGGUUGCUGCAGCUUACAUUCUGCAGACUUUACUGUGACUCUGUUGAUUAUGCAUUCUCCUCCAGUUAUCAGAACCGAGCAGUUGAAAGAAGGGGGAAAAUAACUAAACUAUUGUGUUUGACAAACAAGUAAAUUGCAAAUUAUCAGGAAUUUGUCACAUCAGAUGCCACAUUUAAGGUGCCAAAAUAUAGAAGCAAGAAUUUGAUGUUAUAAGAGGAAUAUAGAAUUACAGAUUAAUCUUGUUCACAACUAGAAGAUUUUCAUGUCCAGGUCCAGCCAUAAAGCUUACAAUCUGGCAGCAGAUAUGUGGCAAGGGGACUUGGUCAGUUGUUAGUUUUGAGCUCUGGUUUCAUUUAGCCUUCAUCCCGCGAACCAUGCAAUGCCCCUCCCUAAAAUUUGUGUCUAAAAUUAGAGGCAAGUCUAAAAUUUUGUGGUGUCCAGACGAACCCAACAAACUUUCCGGUGCUAAAACAGGAGCCAACUUCCAAUGACCUCUCAAUGUCUGCCAAACCAUACCUUCCUUCUCCCUCAAUAUAAUCCACCCCUCUUCAGAACCAUCUGCCUUCUAUAAGCAGCCUUGGGCCUACCAAGGUGGUCAGCAAUGGCUAAACCUCAAAGAUUGCAGGCCUUUGGCUGCUUUCUUUUCUUCUCUUUUCUUCUCUCUUCAUUAUCAACGUUCACUUUUGCAUUGUCUGACGCUGAAGCAUCCUAUAUUGCUCAUCGCCAGCUCCUAACCCUCCCUGAAAAUGGCGAACUUCCAGAGGAUUUUGAAUAUGAAGUCAAAAUAGUUGAAACUUUCGCCAAUCAAAGGCUCAAGAGGGCUUACAUUGCCCUUCAAGCCUGGAAAAAGGCUAUGUACUCUGAUCCAUUGAACACAACUGGCAACUGGGUUGGCCCCAAUGUGUGUGCCUACACCGGUGUCUUCUGUGCCCCGGCACUGGAUGACCCCAAGUUGAGUGUUGUAGCCGGCGUUGAUCUUAAUCAUGCUGACAUUGCUGGAUACCUUCCAGCAGAGUUGGGGCUUAUGACUGAUCUUGCAUUGUUCCACAUAAACUCUAACAGGUUUUGUGGAAUUAUACCUAAGAGCUUGUCUAAGCUUACGCUUAUGCAUGAGUUUGAUGUCAGCAACAACCGCUUUGUUGGUCCUUUCCCAGAAGUUGUUCUAUCAUGGCCAGGGCUCAAGUACCUUGAUGUCAGAUUCAAUGAUUUUGAAGGCAAAUUACCUUGUGGCAUUUUCGAAAAGGACCUGGAUGCGUUGUUCUUGAACAACAACAGGUUCACCUCCACCAUUCCCGAAACGAUUGGCAAAUCCACGGUGUCUGUUGUGACAUUUGCCAACAACAAAUUCAGCGGAUGCAUUCCACACAGCAUUGGCAAGAUGGCGAACCUGAAUGAGAUAACUUUCAUGAACAAUGACCUUGGUGGUUGCUUCCCAGCAGAAGUUGGGUUGCUUAGCAACAUGACUGUCUUUGAUGCUGGCCUCAACUCAUUUACAGGUAUCUUGCCACAAAGCUUUUCAGGCUUGAAGAAGGUUGAGCUCUUGGAUAUUUCCCACAACAAGCUGACAGGAAUUGUACCCGAGAAUGUCUGCAAGUUGUCGAGCUUGUCCAAUUUCACAUUCUCUUACAACUACUUCAAGGGAGAGGCCAAUGCUUGCAUUCCACCUUCAAGGAAGGACAUUGUGAUAGAUGACACCAGCAACUGUUUAGGUGGUAGGCCAAAGCAGAAGUCAGCCAAGGAAUGCUACCCAGUGGUGAGCCGCCCUGUGGACUGUAGCAAGGACAAGUGUGGUGGAGGCUCUUCACCUUCCAAACCACACCCUCCUAAGACACCAUCACCUUAUGAAUCCAGUCCAUCAAAGCCACAGCCAAAACCACCCGUCACAGCUCCUCCAACACCAAAGCCGAAACCAUCCACACCGGAGGAGCCACAUCGACGACCUCCGGUACAGGGGCACCCUAAACCACCAUCUUCAGCACCAGCACCGUCACCUGAUCCACAUGACCAAUCUCCAGUGACUCCUAUCAGGCCACCAGCACCUAAGAACCCAACUCGGGAGCCACCCCCAGCACCUAAGAACCCAACUCGGGAGCCACCCCCAGCACCUAAGAAGCCGACUCCCGAGUCACCAAAAUCACCAGCAGCACCGGAGAAUCCAACUCCCCAACCACCAAAAUCGUCACCAAUGCCUUCACCUGACCCACACGGUAAUUCUCCUGUUGGAGGGGUCCGCUCACCUCCACCACCAGUCUACUCACCACCCCCACCCGUGCACUCACCCCCGCCACCAGUCUAUUCACCACCGCCACCACCAGUCCAUUCUCCACCACCACCACCAGUUUAUUCUCCACCACCACCUCCACCUGUCUACUCACCACCCCCACCAGUUCACUCGCCACCUCCACCAGUCUACUCACCCCCACCACCACCACCUGUCUAUUCACCAUCACCACCACCACCAGUCCAUUCACCACCACCUCCUGUCUACUCCCCACCACCACCAGUCUACUCCCCUCCACCACCUGCCCAUUCACCACCACCACCACCCGUCUACUCUCCACCACCACCACCACCACCCGUCCACUCUCCACCUCCACCGCUUUACUCACCACCACCACCUGUACGAUCCCCACCUCCACCGCUUUACUCACCACCACCACCACCAGUUCCAACUCCAUCUCUUCCUCCUCCUCCUGUUGCUUCUGCACCGCCACCUACCGAGGAAUUUGUUCUCCCACCAAACUUGGGAUUCCAGUACUCCUCGCCACCUCCACCAAUGUUCCCAGGCUACUAAAUAGUAUAGCCUUAAAACAUCUUUAUAUUGUAUAUUCACCCUUUUGGCUAUAAAAAUGAAAAAAGAAAAAAAGAGGCUAAAGUACACAGGCAUUUUGUUAGCUUGACUUCUCAAUGGAUUUGCAAUUUCCAUUAAGUAGAGAAGUUCCUUAUAUGCAUAUGAAUCUCCAUUACAUCUGAUUUAGUUUCCUCCGUUCCCUUAAUCUGUCUCUUUUUCAUUUUUUUUCCCUUUUUGGUUGCUACAAAAUCAAGGUGCCAAUUAGAGUUUAAGCGUAAUUAUUUAGUGCAUUUAUUUUUGUUGAAUUCGUCAUUUCAUAUAGGCAUAUCUGCAUGACAUUGAAAAAAGAAAACAUUCCAAAUAAUCAUAUACUUUCUCAUAUUUUUGAAAUGUCACACAGCUUUAAACAAAUGAUAAAUACACACCAAUGCCUUAACUCUGUUAUGUUAUUAAGAAUUAUAAAUCAACAAUAGAAUAAUAAUGAAAUAAUAAACAAGAACAAUUGUUGCAGCCUGUGAUGUUCAUGUUUAGGCUCAGCCAAUUUCAGUUAUGUCAUGAAACAUGACGUGAAGCCAAAAGUUUCACCAUUUUUAUUGCUUUUUCUUCAUUUUAUUGUGAUUUUAUAACUUUUAAAUACAAGACAUGUAGCUUUACAAUAUAAUUGGUUCUAAUCUCCCUGUCUCCAAAGUGAAACCAAAAGGACCAAAAAGUUCUAGUUACAAAGACUUGAUCAUUUGCGCUACCUUAUCCAUGGAAGGCCUAUCUUGUGGAUUGCGUGACAGGCAAAGCCUGGCAAUUUCAAUCAUUCCGACCAUGUUCUCCUUCACUUCUCCCAAUUUCUCAUCGCAUAUACUAGUCAGUCCUUCUUUCCUUUUCUUUUCUUUUAUGUACGCUCCCAGGUUGGUCACUGAAGGCCUCUUCCCAGUAAUUAGCUCUAGUAGCAGUAUUCCAAAGCUGUAAACAUCAGACUUCUGUGUAAACAUUUUUGGAAGAUUCUUCAGUUCAGGCGCCACACGGCCAGAAUUUCUUUUGAUCAUCUUUUCCGGAGGUACUAGGUAAGGUGUUUCGUAGCUCGAAAGACAUGCAGAAAAAUCCAUUCGAAUCAAGAUGUUCGAAGCCUUAAUCACCCCACAAACAAGAGCUUCACCAUUUGGAGUUACUCGGCUAUGAAUUGAGGCAACUGCCUGUGCUGCACACAAUGCUAUCUGUUUCCUAAUUCCCCAGUUUAAUGGAGUGAACUGAAUCCCUUCGCUGCCUGCAUAUUUGCAAAUGAUAGAAAAGUUAAUUAGAGCUCUAACAUCAUCUAUAUCUAUAAGCUGCCAAAAGCAUCAGAGUUUCUACUCCAAGAAUUCGACAGAAUAUGUGUUAGAGUUGCAAUUAACAGUUCGACAAGUUAGUUUAAUCAGGUUCAAUCAGAAAUAUACCCCAGAAAAUGGAUAUGAAAAUUAGGUUAAGAUAUAGGAAGAAAUCGUAGCUUACCAUGUAAAAGCUCCUCCAAACUCCCCAGGAUCACAUACUCAUACAGAAUAAAAGCCUCUCCUCCAUACCAAAAACUAAAAUGUAUUGGUAAGAGCCAAGCAUCCCGGAUUCCUCCAAAGAAGUUAAUCCACAAGUCAAGACUAACGGCAUCCGUGAUCAGCCCUUCUCUGAUCUUUCGGAUUGUGACAAUUGAACCACAUUUAAGAACAACCUUAAACAAAGUCCCCAGGGUACCUUCACCAAGCCUAUUUUUUGGAAUCUGAGCCAGUUCUGGUGGAUCAUAUUUCUUGGCAACUGUUAUGUCCCCAAAUAUUACCUCCAUAGGAAGUGUCACCUUAACUUCCAACAAUGAAACUGGGGUUGUAGUUGUCACUUUUCCAUCACUGGAUUUAGGCUUCUUUUUCCUAGCCCAUAUCAAAACAAGAAAGGCAUAGAUAAGUGCAAGUACGAUGCUCACACAAACCAACACUACUCGGAUAUGAUGUCCCAACAUUCAGAAUGGAUCAACAGAAACCUCCUGGUGCUGCUCUAUCAGGGAACCUGGCAGACUUAAGAUUUUCAGUUUUUGCCUUCAUGAAAUGUUAAAGAAUAGUAGUAGCAUAAUUUUUUCCCCUGUUUUCACUUUUGUAUUUUUUAGCUUGUAGUGGUUCAUAGUUUAUUCCACCAUGGUCCUUGGGAUGACCAGUCAGCCACACCGGACCCUUUCACUGCCUUGUGUACGUAGGAAAUUCAUUUUCAAACUUCUGAUAGAACAAAAAUUGCAUAGAGACAAAAGGGUCUUGAUUAAAUGUAGUAGUAAACAGAUUAAAACUUGGUCAAUUUAAAAAAUGCAAGAAAGUACCCAUCAAUCAGGAUCAUUAAUUUUCUUAGCAUGCAUUAGUUGAUGAUUAGUGAUCAAUCAACUAGCUGCUGAAUCAAAUGCAAUUAUGUAUUUCAAACACCUUAUAAACUUUGACAUUGGCGGUCAAGAGGACUUUAUUAGGUUCAAAAGUGGAAAACUAACAAUGGGUCGACAACGGGAAUAGGUUUGGUCCGUUUGGAAAGAGCCAGAAGGGGAAGAUUGGCCCAAUCAACACAAAACGCAGGCGUUUAAUUUGCUUAAUUUUUAGAGAUACGGCAUCGUUUUAAAGUUGAUUGCCUUCAAACGCACGUUGAGUCACGGUUUCGUGGUCCAUUUUCGACUGAAAACAGCCGCUAUCCUCAACAACUUGAAGCUCCAGCAUCCUUGUGCAGAUCUCAUUCAAUCUCUUCUCUGUUAUUAAAAUCACAAGAAAAUCGAAGCCAAAAGCAGAACUUUUGUUUUUUUGAGACUUACGUCACUAAUUUCUUCUGCAUUUUUUGGUACAAAAACAAAGAAAAGAAAUGGAAGAUACCAAGAACCCACCACCACAACAAAUGGAAGAUAAAGAAAAAAGAGAAUCUGCAGGAAAAAAAGAAGAACCCAAGAAGGAGGAGCAACGAUCAGCAUCAACUACGACAGCAAAGAGUGGAGGAGGAUGGGGUGGUUGGGGUUUCUCUGCUUUCUCUGUUCUCUCGGAUCUUCAACAAGCUGCCACUGUUGCCGCUGAGGAGAUCAGUCGCAAUGUAAGCUUCAUUUUAUCUCUCUACGUAUUCGUUUAUAUAUAUAAUACUAUCAAAUUAUGGGAUUAACAGUUUUUCCGUUUUGUUUUUGGUAUUCGAAUUAAAGUUUGUUUUUUGAAUUAUGUUUGGAAAUGUGGGUAUUCAGAUCUUGGAGUGAAAUUGGUUGUUUUUGGGGGUUUUUUUUUUCGAAUUGCCAUUUUGAAUAAAGAGUCUUUUUGGUUGUUUAAUUUCGUAGCUUUUUGAUACUGUGAAUUGUGGAAGCCUUAUUCAGUAUUGCUUUUAGUAGAGAAGUUUUAUUUUGUUGAAUUAAACCUUCCUCUUUGUUAGUGGAAUAAAUUUGUGUUUGAUAUGUGAAGCAUUAGAAAUGUGCCAUUGUUCAAGGACCUUAUCUUGUGUGAAAAUUCAGAGGCGAGGUGUUGAGUUUAUAAAUAGUGAAGGUUGUCAUUUACACUUCAGAAAGGAUAAACUGAUAAUUUUUUAUAAGAAUUAUGCGCAAUAGCUUAUCAUGUAAUGGUGAUAUCAUGCUGUUUUCAAUUUUAUUAAGCAGUGCUUUCUUGAUGCAGGCUUCUGUGGUUGCAGAAAAGGCUGCCAAGAGCCUGGCAGAUAUGCAACUUGCUGAAGACUCAGAAUCUUCUAAGGAGGAAGAAGCAGAGGAAUCUCCAAUUGAAAAGGAAGGUGAAGAUGAAAAUGACAAACUACGAAAGUCUGCUCUGGAUAAGUUAGAGAAAGCCAGUGACGAUUCUUUCCUUGGCCAGGCAAGUCUUUUUUAUCCAUUUUGAUAUUUGAAAUUAUGUGUACUAGCACUUGGUGCAGAAAUCUGGGAUGAUGGUAGUCCUGCAGCUUUUGCUUUUUCAUUUGUGUUCGAAACUCUGUCCUUUUUUCUGCAGACACACCAGAGUGCACUGACAGUCAUAUUAUAGCGUUACGAUGGAUCAGAAUCAAUAUUUGGUUUUUGAUAUUGAUCAAUCAGAAUCAAUAUUUUUGUUUUUGAUAUUGGUUGAGCAUCAUCUUAUGUCCUACUUGCAAUGUUUGCAGGGUUUGAAGGUUUUUGACAACUCUGUGGAGAAUUUGGCUUCUGGUGCAUGGCAAGCACUAGGGAGUGCAUGGAAAGGGGGUACCAAUCUUGUUCAGAAGUAUGUUUCAUUGCAUUUCAAUGUAUCGUUUUCCUUUCCAAUUGUGAUUAGUUGCACCAGAGCCGAAGAUUGAUUGUUCAAAUCGCAAGCUAGAGAGAGUUUGAUUUUCAAAUAAUUAGUUGAUUCCCAGGAACUAACGAGCACAAAAUAAAAAACGAAUGGGUUGAUGCUUAUUAAUUGCUAUGCAUCUUCAAAAUUUUCAGAACUCAUUCAAUAUGAAUAUCUUUAAUUUCUAAAGCAAUGGGUUCAGGGUUCUAUCAUCAUGGAAUAUUUGCAGUAUAUUGGAUUUUCCCCCUCUGUGAAGCCGUGACUAUGUUCAGGACAUCAACCAGCUCUAACACUGAGCUACUGAGGAACAACAGGAGACUAGACACCCCCAUGCGCCUUCUGUAGGGAGGCUGCACACUGAAAAAAAAAACAAAAACAAAAAAGUGAAAAAUGAUGGUAAAAAAAUCUUCACUUUUGAGAAUAAUGAAAAAUGGAAAGUGUUCAAUUGGAACUGCCAAGAUGAGAAUUAGGAAGGAUUGGUUAACAAGUGCAUGUACAUCACACCUCCUACAGUAGUUGCCAAAGCUCCAAGUGAAAUUUAGUAGGGCUCAUUUUUCAAUAUAAAAAACAGGGAAGUUGGCUGUAGUUGAGUCACAUUUUUUGGACAGGAUAUGGAUUUUUUCAUCUAUGGUCCGUAUGAGACUUUUUGAGUAGUAUUUUCCUGGUAUCUAGGAUAUUUAAAGUUUGUUUUUGGGUGGAUGCAUACUUCUAGAAAUGAGGAUUUUAAUGCUAAGAUUAACAACAGAGUAACCUAGGCUGCUUGGUUUUGUGUCAUCAUUUUAUAAUUUACCUUUAUUUUCUCCUUGUUGUAGUACAAUUCUACAAUUAUUGUCAUGAAACUCAAGAACUGAAUACACUUGAACAUUUUUCCGCUAAUAAGUUUUUCUCUCUUUUAUUGUCUAGGCUUGAGCAUUCUGCUGCAAACAUUGCAGAUUCUAUUCAGCAUGGAGGUUUACCCACUGGUUCAGUUGCACCAUCAUUAAUUGAGGUUUGUGCAGGCCUUGUUUUCUGGCUUAUUAGUGUUGCAAUGAUCUCUUAUUUCUCAUUUUUAUUUGGCAGACUGGAAAAGCUUUUACAACAAAGGGAAUGCAAGUGCUUGAAUAUGUGGGAAAGGAGACUAUGGAUUUACUAAUCACUGAAACUGGUAUCGAAGUUGAAAAGAACCCUAAGGGCACUGAACAGCCAUCUGAUGAGGAUCAGUUAUUUGAGGAAGUCAGUUUUGAUCGAUGCUUCUAUAUAUAUGGAGGUCCAGAGCAGUUGGAGGUUAACUUCUUAUUCUUGAAGUUGAGUUGGAUUAUUGAAAUGAUUAUAUCUUUCAAAUUGCUGAACUGUAAUGCUGUCAGGAACUGGAAGCAUUGUCCAGCCAUUAUGCCCUUCUAUUCAAUCGAAGAAAAGCAAAGUUACCAUCAGAACAGAAAUCUGUGUAUGAGGGAAAGCUUAAACAAAUCCAGCAAAUUUUCAGUUUGGAUGCUGAAAUGGAGGGGAAUGGUCCAGAGUUGGCCAAAGGAAAGAAAAUAGAGACUGGAACUGAGGGCAGUCAGGAUGAGAUGAAAAAUUUGCAUGAUUCAAGUGUCAGCAAGGCUGCUGAUAUGGCUGCUGGGUAAUUUGCUAAACAUAGUUUUUUUCUCGUUUACCUCACUCAGAAAAUUCUGCACCAAGGUAUUACUGGGUAUAGAAUAUGGUUUUCUGAAUGUCUGCACUACUUAUAGGUAUCUUCUAUUAUGGCUUUCAUUCAGGAGCUCAUCCAGUUCUAAUUAUCAAAGUUGAAUUUCCUUUAACUGAGUUGAUUUUGUAUCCAUAUUGUUCAGUAGCCUCCUCUUGAUAACUACUCCAUUUUCAUCUUUUCAACUCUAAAUAUUGCACAUGCUUUGAAAUAGAUAAAAAAUGGAUUUUCGCCUAAGAUUGUUUAAAUUAUAUGCAUGGUGACAAGUGUGUAGGGUUUCUUGAUGUAGUAUGAAUCAGAUGGACAUGCAGCAAAAAAUAUUGCUCGCGAUCAACGAUUUUUAACACAUUUUAUAGUGUUAUUUAUAGUCUUUUUUUUUUUUUUCCAGAUAAGCAUAAUAUUAAUUAUAAUUGAUACUUCUUGGUUGUUAAUAGUUCCAAAACAUUUUCAGGUUCACAAAUGCAUUGUCAGGAUUAGCUGUUAAUGAUAUAAUUCAAAGAACUGCUGGAAGGCUAGAGUCGCUGCACUCAGAGGGGGUUCAUGUAUUGAGAUAUUUUUGAAUUAUUUUUAACAUUUUGACAAUUAUUUUAGGACAUGAUCUUUAUUGUUGGUUCCUUGGUGAAUUUAAAAUGACUAUGCAUGUCUUUGCAGAGGCUUUCGGAAAUGUGCUGUUUUGCAGUGUCUCAGCUCCUGAUGCUGGGUAAAUCUAUCAUAUCUAGUGCUAACAAAGUUCAAGAUGAAGAUGCUGAUGGCGAUAUGCUAAAUAUCGACUGGCCUGAGGAUUCCAUUGAAAAAGCUAAAUUAAUCAGAGUAAAGGCACAAUCAAUGAUAGGAUAUGCGGAAGCUGUAUCCAGCAGCUUUAUCACAGGUUAUAUUUCUUGCCCCCCUGCGGCAGCAUGUACCUCUGUUAUCUUCUUAGAUCAGUUAUAUUUUUACAUGGUACAUGUGAGCACAGAUAGCUGAAGGUGGUUAUCUUUAAAUGUGUUUUUCAGGCAUAUCUGAUGUAGCUGAAGCUUAUCUAGCGGCCAUUAAGAGUGCUACUGUAGAUUCGCAUGAAGCACUUCCACAGGCAUCAAUCCAGGAGAAAGCUAAUGCCUUCUUCGAACAUCUCCACGGUGAUCAGACCACUGCAGUGAGUAAAAUCAAGGAUGGACUCCAAUAUUUGACUUAUGUAGUCCUUUCAACCACAAUGCCAGCCGCUUGAAAACACGAAUUCUCUACGUGUCUUGUUAGUUUCCAUGUAAAUAGUUGCAUUUUAGACCAGUUUAACCCCCAGUCUCUCUUUGAACUUUUUAUGCUACACCAUUGAAACUGAGCUCAUUUUAAUUCAGGGGUUAAGGCAGUUUCUUUUGUGUAGAGUUCUUGGUGUUAAACAGUCUAUUUCCACAUAAAGGAUCAAAAGAAAUUCAAAUAUCAUAUUCUUUCUACGGAUUUGAGAGAUCUAGAUUCAUGAGGUUUCAGAAAUUUUCUUGGCCUUGAUUCUAUGUUUAGCAUUCUGGAAAAUCGCGAGAGGCGAAGCUUGUACACUGUACCGAGCUGUGCCUUCGAAGAAGUUCUAGAAAACUUGUGUAUUUCUUCACACGAAAGUUUACUAAAACAGUGGACAGGCACAAUACAGAGACUGAAUGGGGAAGGCUUUUAUCUCUUUCUUUUUAUAAUGGUAUUUGUUCUCUAUAUACAGUAGUAAUACAGGAAAGUAGAAACAGAGUGAUCUAAUAUAAUGCAACCAGGAAGCCCUGCAAUCCCAGUUUGGCAAACAUAGCAAAACCUUCCAAAAUAGACCCCACUGCACAAGAUUUGUUUUUUUCAGAGAAACUGUCCAUGUUCAAUGUAUGUAAAGAAAGUAAAAAAACCAUAAUCACAUAAAAAGGAUAUGACAGUGUAACCACUGUCUUUUGUCUCGCAGUGAUUUACCGUUAUCUAGCAAGUAGCUACCGUACUCUCAAGAGAGCCAUGGGAGAAGUUGAUCCAGCUUUCAUCCAAGCCACCGAACACAGACCCAAACUCAAUACCAUCCAAAUCGAGGGAAUCCCACUUAUUGAUCUUUCCGUAUCUGACACUAGAGACCUCAAACAACUUGUUUCGGAGAUUGGAAACGCAUGCAAAAAGUGGGGAUUUUUUCAAGUGAUCAAUCAUGGGGUGCCUUUGGAAUUAUGCACAAGGAUUAAGGAGGCGGCGAAAACAUUCUUUGAUCGGCCCAUAGAGGAAAAGAUGAAGGUUAAACGAGAUGAAGUGAAUGCUAUGGGGUACCAUGAUAGCGAGCACACAAAGAACGUUAGAGACUGGAAGGAAGUCUUUGAUUUCUUGUUAGAAGAUCCAACUUUUGUCCCAGCUUCGCCUGAGCCUGAGGAUAAAGAAAUAAGGACGUUGACUAACCAGUGGCCUGAGAACCCUCCCGAGUUCAGGUAAUAUAAAUCUUGCCUUUGGGAUUUUUGGUGGUCACUUCCAGAAAGCAUAGGUCUAUCAUUUCACUUUUCAUAUGUUUAUAGGAUUAGCAAAUAAAGAUGAGCAAACUUAUGACUGUUUGAUAGAUACGAGAAUUAGAGAUGAGCCGAUGACAGAUGCCUAUAAGAAUGACUUCAGCUUACAACUUCGGGAUACCACAAAAGCAUGAGUUAAAAGGGGAAAGAAAAUGGUGCAAAUUACUAAUGCCAUAUGCCUAUAGUUCCUGAUGUUGACUGUUGGUUUAAAAUGACCAUGUUUUAGCAAAGAUUUUUAAUUUUUUUUUUAGCAAUUGAUUUGGUGAUUUGUCAUGUCAAAGUUCUGGGGUAUCAAAAUCACCAUAAUUUGACUGAAUUGAUUCACAGCAACUUUUUCUAAUCAAGAAUUAAUCUGGCACUUGGUUUCAUACAAGGAUUGUUAAUGUUGGCUAGGGAGGUGUGCCAGGAGUAUGCUCGAGAGGUGGAAAAGCUAGGUUACAAGCUGUUGGAACUCAUCUCCUUAAGCUUAGGCUUGCCGGCUAACCGGUUGAGUGGCUACUUUAAAGACCAUACAGGCAUGCUAAGACUUAACUAUUAUCCUUCUUGCCCUUGCCCUGACCUAGCACUUGGUGUUGGUCGACACAAGGAUGCUAGUGCCUUAACUGUCCUUUCUCAAGAUGAUGUUGGAGGACUACAAGUAAAGAGAAAAACUGAUGGAGAGUGGAUUCCUGUUAAGCCAAUCCCAAAUGCCUUCAUCAUCAAUGUUGGUGAUACUGUUCAGGUACCAGGGAUUAAUUUUGGCUAAUUAGUCAAGUUCUUGCAACUAUUCAAUUUUUUUUCUUUUUUGUUUAUUCUUUUCAAUAUUUCGAAUGGUUGUAGUCCCAACAGGUUAAUUAGAGUAGGCCAUCCCUCAAAUAGAUGUGAAGGCCAUAAGGGUAAAAGCUCAUUAUUUGUCAGUAGUUUGUACCAUUAGCUAACACGCUGCCCUUUUGCAGGUCUGGAGUAAUGAACUUUAUGAGAGUGUGGAGCACAGGGUGGUGGUGAACUCUGAAAAGGAAAGGUUUUCAGUUCCAUGCUUCUUUUUCCCUUGUCACUCUGUCAUGGUGAAGCCACUGGAGGAGUUAGUCAAUGAGCAAAAUCCAGCAAAGUAUAAAGAAUACAGCUUUGGAAAGUUUUUUGUUGCUAGAAACCGCAGUGAUUACAAGAAGCUUGAGGUUGAAAACAUUCAAAUUCAUAAAUUUAAGAUAUCUAAUUAAGUUGCUGAUGUAUAUACAAACCUGCUAAUAAAGCACUAGAUUCGGCUUGUUGUAAUUUAUCAUGCUAUGGAACCUUGAUAUCAGAAUAAAAAUAUUUCUUCUCAACCCAAGAUUACUUUCAUGUUGUGUAAUCCAGGCUUCCAUGGAUGACUCUGUGUGUUCAACUUGAAUGCUAACAUUACUAAUACAUUAGAUAAAACUGCAUGGGAACCACCGAAUUUGGGAGAGUUCCUUGCCAUAUAGACUUCUUUCUGAAUAUGAAUAUAUAUAUAUAUAUAUAUUUGAAAAUUCAUAGUAUAUUGAAUGCAACAAGAAGAUUCAUGUCUGUUACUUUCUGAAAUUGAGAAUAACAGCGCAGAAUCAUCUCCAAAAGUAUCUCCUACAGGACUAUACAAUAGAUCAGGUACUGUAAGAAACGUGUACGCAAAAACAAUACCCAGCAACCCCCCUGCAACAUGAGGCAUUCAUCUCACCUCCAUUCCCCAAUUACAAAAAAUCACACAGUUCAACCAAUUUACAAGGCAUAAACUUGCCCAACAUUCAGAACACAGAAAUAAAAGCAGGAAGGCUGCUUUUGGCCAAUUGCAAAGAUCAUCCAGCAUGAAACUUCCACAAGGCACACAUCCAAUCUCUCAACCAUACAAGUUCAGUGAUUCAGCAAAUUUAACCUUGGUAACACCCAGGGGCAGAGUCAAAAUUUUUUCUUAAUGGUGUUAUAACUAAAACAAUAAUAAUUAAAUUUUUUUUCUCAAUUCAUGAUCUAUUGAGAAAGUACUUGAUCAAAUUCAACACAAUCUAACUUAGAACAUUAUUAAGUACCAUCAGUAGUAGAAACUUAGAUCAAACUCAUUACGACUUUACUUAGAACAUUGUUGAGUACCAUCAUUAAUAGAAUUAUGUUGUUGUUUAGGACUUAAGUCUUGUGAGAUAAUUUAUUAUAUUUUAAAACAUCUUUUCAUGAUUUAUUUAUCUUUACAAAAUUGUAAAAACAUUAAUAGGUUCAUUAAUGUCAUUAAUUACAUAAAAAUCUAGAUUAAUAGUAUACUUAAUAUAUAUUUUUAGUAAUUGAGUGUUGUCAGAGUAGUAGAUUUUUAACAAUUGAUUAUAAAGUGUCAUCGAGCCUAAAAAGAACAAAGAGAACAUACCAGACUCACUCCUGCACUCAAAAAAAAGGCCUCUGCUCUUGAAACCCCUUAACCCUCUGCCACGCAUGGAUCCAUGUCAAUGGGUAGGGCACUCAUUAAUUUUGAGAUAUCCGAAACCGAAUUUUAUUAAGUUUUAAAAAAUCCGAAUCUUAUAAUUAUUCAGAUAUUUAUGAAAUUUGUUACCCUAAUUUGAACUUGAAUACAUAAUCACUAUCCGAUAAUUAUCCAAAUUCAUUUAAAAACCUGAUUAAAAAAUUUUAUUAAACUCUUUAUGGAUAUUUAAUUUCCCAAACCCAAAUCCAAACUCGUAUUCGUAUACAAUUAAAUUAUAUUUCACAAUUCACAUCUGUAUUUCAUACAAUUCACUAAUAAUUAAAUUUUAAAAAACAAACAAACAAUAAAAUUACAAGUUUACAACAAUCAUUAUUUAAUUUAAAUUUAUAAAAGCAAACAAACAAUAAUUAUAUUCUAAUCUCACAAACAAACUUUCUUUAGAUAUAUAUAUUAUAAGUUUAUGUAAAUAAAAGUAUAUAUAUUUAUAAUUUUAUAAUUUUAUAAGUUAUAAUUUUUGUAACGUUAAUACAAAAUACAAAGUAAGUAUAUUUAUGUUUAAAGUAUAAAUAUAAUGAUAAUUAUAUUAUUUAUAAAUUAAAACAAUAUAUAGAGUAUAUAUUUUAAAGACAUUACAAGCUGAUAAAUAAUCAUUCUUUCAUGAAUUAAUUUAAUUAAAUUUACAGGUUUAUCCUUAAUUACAUAAAAUUAAAAAAAAUAAAUUACAAAAUUACUUUAAUCUUACAAACUCUUUUUAAGUAUAUAUAUUAUGAUAAGUUUAUAUAAACAAAGAUAUAUAUACUAUAACUAAUAAUGUUAUAAGUUAUAACUUCAGCUAAACUUGCAUCUCCCACACCUAUAGCCCUUGAGAAAAUGACUUUCACCAGUCCAUUAUGAUGCUCAUUACUCCCCCAAUUCCGGUCCGGGGCAGCCAUUGGCUGCUCCAUUAAUGUCAAAUUUCAUCUGACCUUGGCGUGGAGUAUUCCAUUCGUCAACAAACCUAAUGCUCUUCGCUCUGUUUAGCACUUUGCUGAUGUUUGGGUUUCGGUACGUGUCCAGCGCCACUCCAAACCCUCGAGGUCAUUUCACCUUUCGCCCAUGUACUAACUCCUAACUUCCGUAGCUCGAACAGUCGGUUCUCGUUCCUGAAUAUGAAUAAAUACUUUCAUUACUUGAAUGGUUCAAUGAAAAAUGUUUUUAUUUUUUAUUUUAAAGAGUCAAAUUUAAUUCCUUUUUAGGGAUUAAAAGGAAAACAAGUUUUCAAAGGUAGGUAAGUAAAAUUUUAUUAAAUAUAUCAUGGUGGUUUAGACUAUGUACUUCCUCACGCCACGACACCCCUUAUCACCUAUUCACCUACCCCAAACCAAUUUUGUUUUAUUAAUCAGGAAAAUUGUCCACGUUCAAUGUAUAUAAAACGAGACAGGAUAAAGUUGCGGAACACUGGACUUUGUUGCAGAAAAUUGAGAUAGGCUGCAACUCUGUCAAUUGUCUAACUACCAGCUCUGGUAAGGUAUCACCAUGGGAGAGAUUGAUCCAGCUUUCAUCCAGGAACCUGAACACAGACCAAAACUAAGAAGCAUCGAAGUCAAUGAAAUCCCAGUAAUCGACCUGUCUGUUUAUAACACUGGAGACACCAAACAAAUUGCUUCAGAGAUUGGAAAUGCUUGCAAAAAAUGGGGAUUUUUUCAGGUGAUCAAUCAUGGGGUGCCCUUGGAACUGCGCUGCAGGGUUGAGAAGGUGGCUAAAGCGUUCUUUGAUCUGCCCAUAGAGGAAAAGAGAAAGGUUAAACGAGAUGAAUUGAAUUUUACGGGGUACCAUGAUGAGGAGCAUACCAAGAAUGUCAGAGACUGGAAGGAGGUCUUUGAUAUGUUGAUCCAGGACCCAACGCUGCUCCCAGCAUCGCCAGAGCCUGAUGAUGAGGAAAUAACGACGUAUACUAACAGGUGGCCUGAGUAUCCCCCUGAGUUUAGGUAAAGAAACUGACCUUCAAAAGCAAAGAGUUUAAAUUUUGCUCAGACUAUGCAUACUUAAUUGUCUUUGAUAGAAUUUCAGAUGAGAGUUUUCACAUGGAAAGUUAGCAUUAGGGCUCACUUAGGAUCAAUAUGGACAUGGUAUAUGUUUGACAAGAACCGAGUAAGUCUUGAAUUUGGCAUACACUCAGGACACCAGAAAACCCAAAAACCAUAAAGGAGGAAGAAAAUAGUUCAGAUCAUAGAGAUGCCAUGCCUGUAUUCUUUAAAAUGGAGUCAUAAUGGGUUUAAUUAAUUUGGGUUUUGCACGUAGUUUUUUUUUCUUAAAAUUUCAGUGUAUAGUAGAAGCAGAGGAAACAUUCACCUCUGGAAAAGCAUACAAGAAGAUUUUGUCCUGACACGCUCUAGAUACGAGUAUAACAGUUCAAAAUCAACCUAUAGAAGAUUCCUCUGGUGAUUCAAUACAAAAAGUCUGGAGAUCCCUGGUUGUCCUAAGCAUCUGCAUAGGGUCGCCUUGACAAAAACAAAACCUUUUGCCUGACCUUAUCAUUUACACAAAAAAUACAACAUUCCCCUACCCAGUAACCAGACAACACAUUUCCAGAAAGUAGAAUUAUAUACAUUCCCGCAUCCCAUCAAACAGUUUCAUCAUGCCCUGUACAUGCUCACCGCAGACACUACACAUUUUUUUUUGAAAAUUAACUGAUUUAUUAAUGAGGCCUGGGUAAGCAUUCCAGCCAGGCAUGGGACGAUUUUUAGCCUAUGAGUUUUGAUGUAAAACCCACUUGCAUAAAAACCUUCCCUUACAAAAAUGCUAGGGCUCUGUUACACAACAAAUCAGAGCAACAGCCUGCUAUACAAGUCCCAAAAAAACCCCCUGAUAUACAGUCUCGUAUAUUCUCACAUCCUAGCCCCUCCCAGAUUUACAGUCAAAUCUAGUUGUUAAUGACAAGAAAGUUUGCACAGCUAUAAACAUCAGUCAACAUGAUCAAAACAGAAUCAUAAAGACAAUCCUAUCCAGACCAAAGCAAAAACAAAAAUGGGUCAGACAUGCAUAGCUUUGAUGGAGCCUUUUUUCGUAUCUCAAAAAAUCAAACCUGUUUCCUUGCUCCAGAAAUCAGAGCUUUUCUUCAGUUCCACCCCACCCUCAACCGGCCUCAGUCAAAAAUAUUAAUUGAAUCCUCCUGUCUCUGAAUCCCCUCUUUUGCCAGGCAAUCUGCCACUUGUUUUUUUUUUCUAAAAAUGUGGUUACCCUCCCAUUUCUGAAUACUCUUUUUCAACCUUUCAAUGUGGAGAAUCCACUUCCUCAUUCUUCAUGGUGCUUCCCUUGGGUUGUUCACCCAUUUUACUGCAUUCUUAGAGUCGCUUUCAAUUAUCAACUCAUGUGUUGUAACCCAUUUAGAAACUGAAAAAAUCAAAAAGGCCUCUCUAAUUGCUCUAACCUCUGCUAAGCUUGCAUCCCCCAUUCCAAUAGCCUUGGAAAAUGUAAUUUUGAAGCUUCCAUUUUCGUCUCUUAGAACUCCUCCAAUCUCGGUCUCCCCUGGACUCCUUUUUGCAGCUCCAUCAACAUUAAAUUUCAUCUUUCCUUGGCUUGGCUUAACCCACUCCUCCACCUGCCUGCUAUUUGUUGUUUUAAUCAUUCUAGGCGCAAGUCUUGGGUUUCUGUAGAUGUCCAGCACAGCACUAUAGGCAUAAAGCCGCUUUGCUUUUGCCCAUGUAGCAACUCUCAGCUUACUAAUUUCAUAAACUUAUUCAACAUCCCAUACUUUUCCUCGGAAGACCAUGUCGUUUCUGUGAAGCCAUAGUGACCAAGCAGUGGCAUAAAACACUAGUUUCCAGAUUUUGGUUUCUCUUUUUUUAACAAUCACAUUAUUCCACAUAGAGAAGAAACUAAAAAUAUUAUUAGGAACAGCCCACUGGACCUCCCAAUCACCACUCCAUUUCAUCCAUAGGUUCCAUGAUUCAGGGCAAUGAAUAAAAAGAUGACUAACCGUUUCUUCUUGUUUAUGACAUAAAGCACACCUUGCUGCAUCGACGGAUAAAAGCCCUCUUCGAACCAGCUCAUGCUUGACAGUGACUCUUUCAUGAAGUAGCUGCCAACAGAAGACUUCAAUUCUAAAUGGUGCCAACUUUGUCUAAACCUCUUUCCAUCCUUCCCUGCUGCUGCCAUCAGAAUGCAUCAACUCUUUGCAAAAAGCUUUCACUGUGUAAUUACCCGAGGCAGACCUCUUCCACAGGAGCUUGUCCUCCAUCUCUUUGUUUAAAUGGUAUUCCUCCACUAUGGCUCUAAAUUGACUCCAUCGUUGUUCUUCCCAACCGAAAGGCAUUCUUCUAAGUUCAACAUCCCGUCUCCAUAGGUCAUGCUCCCAAUGCCCAAAUUCAUUGAUGCAACCAUUUUUAUUCCGAGCUAGAGCAUAAAUCCUUGGAAACCGAUCUUUGAGGUUAUCCCCCUCCAUCCAUCUGUCUAUCCAAAAUCUAAUAUUCUCACCAUUUCCAACAGCCUCUCAACCUGUAAAAAUUACUCACUAGUGGUAUAAAGGGGUUUAAUAAUAUUCUUCCUAGUGGUGGAACACAUCCUAUUUGUGUUUAUGUCUGGUAAGAGGCUGGUAGGAUCACUCCCAUUUUUCUCAACUAUCACUUUUCUCCACAAGCUACUUUUAUCGUUCCCCGUAUCUCCAUAUCCAUUUGUUAAGCAUCGCCCUAUUUUUAAUCUCUAAGUCUAUAAUCCCCAACCCUCCGUCUUCUGCAGACACUACACAUACACAUACCGUACAGAAAGCCUCCACCAUCAAGAGACAAACCUCAUCAUGGCCUUUGGGCACCUGUUCAUGAGUAAAACACAUCCAAUAGCAGAACAUACAUGCACUUACAUGUUUUUCCUGGACAUUGAUAAAGUCCUCAGUGCGUUGCACGCUGUUUUUGCGAGGCUAUCAGCCAACUGGUUAUUCUCUCUAAAGAUGUGUUUCAGCUCCCAGCUUUUGACAUCCUUUUUCUGUCUCUCUAUCUGGAGAAUCCACUUCCUUAACCUCCACAGGGCCCCAGUUGGCUGAUUCACCCACUUAACACCGUUUCUUGAAUUGCUUUCAAUGGUCAAGGUGUGGGAAUGGCCCCAAAUGGAUGCAAUGAACAGAAAAAAAAGCCUCCGUUAUGGCUCUCACCUCCGCUAGAUUUGAAUCUCCUAUCCCAAUUGCUUUCGAAAAAACAAUUUUGAUGUGGCCAUUUUCAUCCCUCAUCACCCCUCGAUCACAGCGUCGGGUUUUGCACUUAGUUUAUGCAAUUGUUUGUGUAUGUAGGGAGACAUGCCAGGAGUAUGCUCGAGAGGUGGAAAAACUAGCUUUCAAGUUGUUGGAACUCAUCUCUCUGAGCUUAGGCUCGCCUGCUAAUCGGUUGGGUGACUACUUCAAACACCAGACUGGUAUGCUGAGGCUUAAUUACUAUCCUCCUUGCCCUUCCCCUGAGCUAGCACUUGGAGUUGGUCGACAUAGGGAUGGAGGUGCCUUGACCGUCCUUGCUCAGGAUGACGUCGGAGGGUUACAGAUUAAGGAGCAGUCAAGUGGGGAGUGGAUUCCUGUUAAACCAAUACCAAAUGCCUAUAUCAUCAACAUUGCUGAUAGUCUUCAGGUACCAUGGUUUUUGGCAUUGUUAGACAAGUUCCUUAUGCUUAAAUAUACCUACCACCAAGGCACCCGAACAUUUGGCUUAAUCAUUGGCUUAUGAUCCCCUGCUAUUUUUUUAUGCCUGCAACGAAGAGCCUAACAAAUGAUGUUUUGCAGGUUUGGAGUAAUGAUCUUUAUGUGAGUGCAGAGCACAGAGUGGUGGUGAAUUCCGAAAGGGAAAGAUUUUCUAUUCCAUUCUUCUUCUUCCCUUCUCACUAUGUCACAGUGAAGCCUCUAGAGGAGCUAGUGAAUGAGCAAAAUCCAGCAAAGUAUGAAGAGUAUAACUGGGGAAAAUAUUAUGUCAAUAGAACCGGCAGUAACUAUAAGAAACUUGAAGCUGAAAACAUUCAAAUUCAUCAUUUCAAGAGGUCUGAUUGAUUGCCGCAGUAUCAGCUACUACCAGCACUUGUUUUCAUAUCAGCUCAUGGCAUAAUCAACAGAGACUUUGUAUCAUAUAUACACUAAAACAUCCUUUACUAUGUUUUAGCUACAAGACCCUAAGACUUAAAUUAAAUCAGCAAUCCUGCAGGGAGCAUCAUGGAUCAUUUUCAUAUUAUUUAAUGAAUCGAUGUCAUUUUAUGAAGGACUUGGAAGGAUUCUUAAUCCUUUCAUUUACGGGUUUCUUCUCAACCAAAUCCUCACUCAUUUGCAUUAAAACAUGAUUUGAUGAAUUAAAUUACUUUGGGAAUGAACAGAGACAAGAUUGUUGAGUGGAUCAGACAUCAUUUUAUUGUUUGUCUAAGAAACCAAACAAAGAAAAUAUUUGAUUUAUUGGUUGGUACAUAAUUCUCUUACUUAAAAAGUAGAGUUCGAAUUUCAUUUUUUCGAAUUAUAAAAACAAAAAACAAAAAAAAAAAACAAAGAAGUGAUACAAGCCAAGAGAUUGUGGAUGAAUUUCGGCAACCUGUCUAGUUUAGAUUCAGUACAAAAUUGAAUUUGAGACGUUACUUACCUAGCAUCUUUAGCCUGCCCCAUAAACCAUGUUAGUCCAUUUAAAAUGGGCAAAUAUGGCACGCCAACGACAAGUCAAUAGUGACAAAUACUUUUUUUUCUUCUCUUCUAAGUGGAUUAAUAUUAGUCCAAGAUGAACAAAUUUAACUAGGAUUAAGUCUACAUCAAGAUGUAUAUGAUUGUAAAAAGUUAUUUUUAAUUAAAGCAUUCAUUUUAAUAGAAUAUUAAAACUUGAUAAAAUUAUUUAAACUUUUUUGUAAUUUUAUUAACCUAAUUUUAAUCAAAAACUUCCACUGCAUUGAUUAUUGCCUAACAGGAAUCCAACAAUAUUCUCCUUCGGCCAAAAUGUCCAACCCCACUGUCCAUGCAGCUAGGCAAGCGCAAACGUCAGAGGCCACAACCUUCCCAAAUAGAGUUUUGCCAAUCUUGCCUUUGCCUAGUUGCCCUCCUAAUUUUUCAUCAAAAACUGUCCAGGUUCAAUCUCGGUUAAACUCCAACCUUGUACUAUAUAAAGAACCACUCCUCUGGCUGUCACUUCCCACUGACAAAACCAAUUCAAUUUUCCUUUUCACUUGAACACUUGAUAACAAGAAAACGCAAUGGGAGAAGUUGAUCCUGCUUUCAUCCAAGAGCUUGAACACAGGCCUAAACUCUCGAUCAUUGAAGCUGAAGGAAUACCCUUCAUUGAUCUUUCGAUGUUGAAUUCACCUGAUGCAGUAUCAGACCCUAGCACCCUUGACAGCCUUGUUUCUGAGAUAGGUAAUGCAUGCAAGAACUGGGGAUUUUUCCAAGUGAUCAACCAUGGGGUACCGUUGGAGCAACGCCGGAAACUUGAGAAGGCGUCCAGGAAAUUCUUUGCUCAACCAUGGGAAGAGAAGGUGAAGGUGAGGAGAGAUGAAGUGAAGGUUUUAGGUUAUUAUGACACUGAGCAUACCAAGAAUGUUAGAGAUUGGAAAGAGGUGUUUGAUUUUACUGUGCAAAAUCCUACUAUAGUCCCAGCUUCAACACACCCUGAUGACAAGGAAGUAGUUGAGUGGCACAAUCAAUGGCCUGAUUAUCCUCAUGAACUAAGGCAAUUUUAAUAAAAUUCCACCUUUUUCCCACUUGAUAUCUUCAUUAUUUUGUUUGUUUUUCAUUAAAUUCACCAAAUUUUAUACCUAGUAAGUUGAAAUUUUGUGGGGGUAAGAAGUUUCAACUAUGAAGCUCUAAUAGUUUUUGCAAUUUUAAUUUAUGUGACAGAGAGGCAUUUGAAGAAUAUGCAGAGGAAUUAGAAAAAUUAAGUUACAAGUUGAUGGAACUUAUUGCCUUGAGCUUAGGCUUGCCAGCGGAUAGGUUCCAUGGCUUCUUCAAGGACCAAACCAGCUUCAUCAGGCUUAACCACUAUUCACCUUGCCCUGCUCCUGACCUAGCUCUAGGCGUUGGCCGACACAAGGAUGCUGGUGCCUUGACCAUUCUUGCUCAAGAUGAUGUAGGAGGACUGCAAGUGAAGCGAAAAUCAGACGGAGAGUGGAUCCGCGUCAAGCCUACCCCGGAUGCUUUUAUCAUUAAUGUUGGUGACAUUAUUCAGGUAAUGUUUUGGAACUCAAGUUAACAUGGCCAAGUACAGAUAAUAUAAUUCUUUAGUUGUUAAUCAUAUAUAUGAACCAAGCAAAGAGCUCAAUGUCUGCACGGCGCACAAAAUAGCAAAUGUUGGAAAGUAUUUAGAGAAUUAGUUUCGGAACUUUUCAUGAUAGUAUUUGGCUGAUGGAUUGCUACUCCAAUAAGUAACCAUAUUAGAAAAUUAUGCAUCCAGGUUUUGCCUAACCACUUAACAACUAAUGUAUGAAAUUAUAUCUUGAAACUUGUAAGUUAUAAGCAGGGCUUAUAGCCUGUUGGUUCCAUGUAUGCACCUUGGAGGCCUAAUCUGAUGAGUGAUGGCUGUAAUUUUAAAUGGUUCUUUUUCAACUUCUGACCAGAGACGUACUCUGUAGUAAUAUAGAAAAUUAGUUGCGGCCUGGUCACUAAUUCAAAACGAAUGAGCAGGUUUGGAGCAAUGAGACUUAUGAGAGUGUAGAGCACAGGGUCAUGGUGAAUUCCGAGAGGGAAAGGUUUUCUAUUCCAUUCUUCUUCAAUCCGGCUCAUUACACCAUAGUGAUGCCCUCAGAGGAGCUGACAAGUGAGAAAAAUCCCCCCAGAUAUAGGCCGUACAAUUGGGGAAAAUUUCUCAUCACUAGAAAGGGAAGUAAUUUCAAGAAGCUUGACGUCAAAAACAUCCAAAUCCAGCACUUCAGGAUAUCAGAGUUAGCAGAUCAUCUAGAUGGAGCACUAUCUGUGAUAUAAUAAAAUGGAGCAUUAGCUAUUGACAGCAUAUGCAAGUUAGCAAUAAUAAUUUCAUCCUGUAAAUUUCAAGCUGUUAUUGCUGAGGAGAAGACUUUGAAUGCAUGGUGUGGUUAAUAUUUCUAUUAUGAACCAUUAUGAUUGACAGCAAUGAAACUUCUUUAUAAACAUAAGUAUUUCCACUAACUUUUGAUGAUUCUCAUAUAUUUUGUCAAAUUGAGAGUGAAAUGUUCACAUGAUCUCCUAUGAAUACUUAUCAAAUUGACAUUCAUCCACUUAGGCGACCACAACCUCUUUCUAUCAGGCAAAUAAUUUGGUUUCUCAGUCAAAUAUGGGUCCAUCAGCUCAAUUAUUUUCCCCCAGAUUUUUAACAGUGACAAAGUCUGAUAAUUGGAAUUAUUGGAAUGCUUGUAAAUUGAUGCUUCCAAUUACUACAUUAGGGUUUGCCUACGGUCCCUAGCUGAGCAUUGUUUCUUAACUGAUGUAAAAUAUGAGCCCAAAUUCAUAAAAUAGGCUGCGGACAACCCAUAAAGUAGAUAUCUCUGCUUAUAAAUUGAUGAGACAUAUGUGCAUAUCUUGGGGAAAUACAAAACCACAGAAAUUAAAAAGGACAAAAAAAAAAUGCAAAAGCAUAUUAUCUUAGUUUCACUGACGAUCUACCUUUCUUUUCUGGUGCUUGGAACUUCAUCAGAACCACGUCCUCAGCACUUUGUGUUAGCACGUGGGGCAUCCCAUGGUGACUGGUCGUGGUAAAAGCUGGUGCCACUUCUAAAAUCAGCUGGCCACAAUGUCACUGCCAUAGACUUGGCGGCAUCGGGGAUAGAUCCUCAGCAAGAGAAUACUCUCAGGUCGAUUUCUGAUUACAUCUAGCCACUGAGGGACGCCAUGGCAUCUUUACCCUUGGAAGAAAAGGUUAUCCUUGUUGUUCACAGCUUGGGUGGUUUGGCCAUCUCUCAAGCAAUGGAAAGGUUUCCUGAGAAGAUUUCUGUAGCCGUUUUUGUUGCUGCCAUAAUGCCUGGUCCGACCCUCAACAUCUCCACACUAAUUCAACAUGUUGGCGUUCAAUUUCUACCCAUUUACCUUUCCCCUAUUUCCCUUCUAAUUUUCGUAGUGACAGCAUAUAUACCAGUAUAUUAAGAACUUUCGAUUUAGCUAAAUCUAUGACUUCUCAUUAAAAGGGGUUUUGUUUAAAGCAUGGUGGUGACUGACUUACUGUUAACCUAGCUACCUGAGUAGCUAUAAUUAACGACCAUCAUCCAACCGUUUUAAUUUAUUGAACUUUUCUGUGUUUUUGUUGAGAAAGAUGUCCGGCGGGCACCAUUCAAUGGACAGUCGGUACAUAUAUGAUGAUGGCCCUGACAACCCUCCGACCGCCUCAAUUCCAGGUCCUUUGUUCCUUGCAGCAAGAACAUAUCAGCUUAGCCCACUUGAGGUAAGAAGAUUGCACUGUGCUUCAUUAUUUUUUUUAAAAAAUGUUUAUACCAAUACAUAUGAGGUAAACAUAUUAAAAUCUGAAAUAUCCAAGGACCACUAGAUUAUUAGAACCGCAUUUGCAAUCAUGCAAAUAAUUUUACUAACCAAGUUGGCUAAAAACUGUGACAGGAUUUGGUAUUGGCAACCAUGUUAGUGAGACCAAAUCGUUUAUUUAGCGUUAAUGACAAGUCAAGGGAACUAGUUCUAACGAGUGAGAAAUAUGGGACGGUUAAUUGGGUUUUCAUAGCUGCGGAAUACGAUUUGAUCUAUGAGGAGGGCGUACGACAGUGGAUGAUCCAACAGAACCAGCCCGAUCAAGUGGAAGAGAUCAAAGGGUCUGGUCACAUGGUCAUGAUGUGUAAGCCAAUAGAACUUUUCAAUCUUCUCUUAAGCAUUGCUAUGAAAUACAAGCCGGAGGAAGGAAAAGAUCAUUUUGCAGUGUGACAUUCUGUAAAAUAAAUCAGUGAUGGGAUUCUAAUUUUUUGGAUUUUCUGUUUUUUAAGAAGUAAAAAGCUAGUCCUAUUAUUGUUCUUCCUGUUUCAAGCAUUUUUUUUUCUUACAAGUUUUAGCUGAUUUGCACAUGAUCCAGGUCAGUCAAAUUUAUAAAAUGGGCGAUAGACCACGGCCCAAAUGAACAUCAAACUGAAACUUCCCCCAUUUUCCUUUUUGACUUUUUCAGGAUCCUAGAUUUCAUUAUCUUAUAAGCCCUUUCAGUCAAAAGAAAAAGCCAACUUCCUGGAAAGUUACAAUCUUGUCCAACCUUAAAUUGAUGGGCUUUGUCAAACGGCAGAAAGUACUCAAUCCAGAAAGAAACAUGGAACAGAAGCAGAAGCUCGUGGUCUUAGUUUCACUUCUGAUUUACUACCUUCCUGCCAUGGUACUUGGAACUUCAUCCGAACCACCAAAGCACUUCGUGCUGGUGCAUGGGUCCUGCCAUGGUGCUUGGUCAUGGUACAAGCUGGUGCCACUGCUAAAAUCAGAGGGCCACAAUGUCACCGGCAUAGACCUUGCAGGAUCAGGGGUGGAUCCACAGCAAGUGAACACUCUCAGGUCGAUUUCUGAUUACAUCAAGCCAUUAAGGGACUUCAUGGAAUCUCUACCUGAUCAACAGAAAGUCAUCCUUGUUGGUCACAGCUUAGGCGGUUUGGCUAUCUCUCAAGCAAUGGAAAGGUUUCCUGAGAAGAUUUCUGUAGCUGUUUUUCUCACUGCCCUUAUGCCUGGCCCGACCCUAAAUAUUUCAACUCUCAGUCAAAGGGUACCCAUGCAAUAUUUUUUUUUUUUCUGUUCUAAUUAUCGACUCCAAAGUUUUAAUUUUUUUUUCAAUUAUUCACUAGUUCUAACUUCUACUCCACAAUCUGGGCCAAAAUUGUGAAGCUACAGGCUUUGAACUGUGGGCCAAAAAAUUUAAUAUUCAAACAACGUUAGCCUUUGUAUGGGUUACUACGGGCCUGUGUCACGAGUUCUCUUUUGUUCCUAAUUUAAAAAAUAUGCAAAAAAAAUUAUUUAUAAAUUUAAUUUUUAUUUUAUCUUUUAUUAAUGUAAAAUUUAUGAAUGAUUCUUUGAAUCAUAAAAGGGAGAAAUUGCACCUUAAUUCAGAUUAAAGAUGUCACUAAUAACAUAUUCAAGCUUUCAACUCAAAACACAUAUUUAUUAAGUAAAAAUAAUUUUUAUUUAUAAGCUCAAUUUUCACCUUAUUUAUCAUUAAUGUGUGGCUGCAACUUGUCUCUUUUCUUUUGGAGGUGGUUGAAACUUGUAAGUUGAAAGGUGACCUUACAUCGUCCUCACAAUUUCCAAGUUCUGAUAUUUUUCUCUGUGUGUGUGUGUCUCUCUCUCUCUCUCUCUGUCUUUGUUGAAGGCAUUUAAGGAGCAAGAUUCCCAAAUGGACAGCCUCUACACUUAUGAUAAUGGUCCCAACAACGCUCCAACCACCUUUAUUUUUGGUCCCUUGUACCUCUCUUCCCAAGUCUACCAGCUUAGCCCACGUGAGGUAAGAUGAUGUGCAACUAUCUUUAAUUCAUGUAGCCUAUUUUAAAUCUUAUAAGAUUUUAAAAUACUAUGACACUGAAAUUAUGCUAACAACCUUUGCUUUGCAAGAGUACGAUUGCAGGAUUGGGCAUUGGCUAAUAUGUUGAUGAGACCAAUACCUUUGUAUAGCAUGGAAGACAUGUCAACAGAACUAGUACUUUCCAAGAAGAGGUACGGGUCGGUUAAUCGGGUUUUUAUAAUUUCGGAAAAAGACAUGGUCUCAAGGAAGGAUUUAGUACAUUGGAUGAUUGAGAAAAACCCGCCCCAUCAAGUAGAAGAGGUCAAAGGAUCCGAUCAUAUGGUCAUGAUGUCCAAGCCUAGACAACUUUGCAAUCUUCUCCUAAGCAUUGCUACGAAAUGAUGCUAAUAUUAUUAAAAAAAAUAAAGAUAAAAAAUAAAGCAUGUUUAAGUUUACAUGUUACAAAUAAUGUGUUAUAGAAUUUACAACUUAAUCAUCUUUUUGUAUCGAAUCUUGGUUUUAGAUUUUUUUUGCUUUAAUAAAUGAAUAGAAAAUUCGAAUUAUUAGUAGCAUUCUCUGAUUAAAUUGACUUUAAAUUAAUAUACUAAUCAAAAGGAGGCAGAAACAUUAAACAAUCGCCACCAUAUUGCUUGAUUUUGUAAUGAGUUGCCAUUAUUUUAUUUUUCAUGACCAGGGAGAAGCAAUGUUUUUAAUUGGUUCAAAUCAUGUGAUUAACAUGCAACAUACAUCAAAGCAAUCAGCACAUUAUAAUAAUAAUAGUAUAAUUAUAAUUAAAAUAAUAAUGUAAUAAAUCAUGUUUACGAUAUGGAUGGUAUAUUCAUAUUUUAUUCCAUUCUUGUCAAAUUUAAAAGACAUGAUUUCAUCGUUACUUAAUUAAUAUAAUAUGAAAGUAAUCAUAUGGUUUAUUUUAAGUGGGAAUAAACCAUAUUAUUCAAUAAACAAGUCAUAAUCAUCAAUAAUUAUACACUUUUUAUAUUAUCUUAUUUCAUAAUCCCAAUAAUUAUUGUUGACCAUUUUGGCGUUUUGUUCAUGUAGUUUGAACUAGGUAAAUUACAAAGAAAAAGUGACUAAUUUUUGAGUAACCCAUAAAAAUCUUUCUAAGUCGGGGGUUUUUUUUUUUUUUUGGAAUGUGUUAUUUGUCCAGCUUGGCAAUGAAAUGACUCCCAAUUUCAAUUUGGACCAAGUGACAAGUAUCCAAAUCCAAUAUCCAUGAAAGACGUUGCUUUAUGGAAAUGCUGAUGCUGAGUCACGACGAGGGACGAUAAAUAUCCCCAACAAUGCAUGCACAAUACAUAUAUAGAUGUUUCUCUAUACCAUCACCACCUCUCUCCGACACAUACACCCCCAUUUGAAGCAGAGGAAGCUGUGCGCCCAAUGCCAAGUCAGUCAAACUCUAUCCAUCCCCAACACACUGACGUAACUUGCUAGUGGGCAGGGGCAGAUGGGAUUAGCUUAUUCUUGAUCACAUCCACGGAAUAAAGUCUGCAAGCUGUCUUAUCUGGAUUGAAUUCUUGGGCCACCCAGCUCCAAAAAGGUUAAAAAAGAAAUGGGUUUAUUUUUGUAAAGAUACUUCCUUGUUUGUUGAUCAUCCUCGACUGAUAGUUAUCUGGAAAAUACAAACUAAUGAAAUAUGCAUCAUGCAACGAAAGGGCCUGAUAUUCUAAGCCAAAAAUAUCUGCCAAUAUUCACCGUUGCAAGUCUGUCCAAAAGCAGACACAAAACCAUAUGUCUCUGCUUCAAUAAUGUUGUUGGACACAUGGAGAACGCUAAAGUUAUAAUUAAACUGUCUGCAUGCUUCUGCCACAUCUCCUCCUCCGUUUCUCCUUUUUUUUUUUUUUUUGAAACCAGUUUUCUUUUAUUCUAACUUGAAUUGCAAGCAAAAAUUGAAGCAAACGUAGAAUAAUAUUCAAAUACCUCACCCCAGCACUCAACCAAAAACUUUGAAAUUCAGAAAGAAACGUAACUCUUGUGGUGGAACAUCAUACCGGCUAAGCCUAUAUUUACACAUUCCAAUAUUUCCAACCCUAGCUAGCUAUUCAGAGAAAGAACAAAAUUACAAAGGCUGGUCCAAACCUAAGACUUCUAGUUGAACAAGGUACAAGGAUCAGUGUUUCUCGCUUGGAAAAAGCCAGAAAAAAAGUGACAAUCAAGGAAGAAACCCAACGAAGGGAACUGGAGUACCCAAAGACCGGCUACCUGUUAACGCCGGCGCCCCGUCGUUUUGGUGAAUGACAACCCCAACUGCUUCAGCUACGACCAUGACAAACUCUAUGGCUAGUUUCAGCAACUCCACGCAAAUCUCCAAUCUUUGCAGCAACAUUGUUGCAAGUCCUCUCACUCUUUUUUCCUUUCCUUGUGGUUUCCUUUUCGGCUUCAAUUUCCCGCGUCCCUCUUCUUUAUCAACCCUGAAAGACUCCCCUAUUUAUAUACCAGAACAUGAAACACCGUCGCCAAUGGAAAAGAAAAAAACUGAUUGGUUGAAGAAGAUAAAUAUGGCCUUUGGAAACACCCAAAGGUCGGUUUGCCUCUCCUUGUUGAAAAUUCAAUUAUCCCAAAACCAAGUUAAAAUUUUCAAAAGCUGUUGGCAACAGACACACCAAAUGUUUAUCCGAUUGAAUUGACCACAAACGGGACAGCGAGACAAGGCUUCAAGGUAUGGAUGACCAUGACCCUAUUCCCAUUAAUGUGGUUGGCAACAUUACCCUUAACAUGCCAUUAUAACUACCCGACAAACUUCAUAAUUAAGGGAAAUGGGUCCAACUUAGGCCUACCAACAUGCUGGAUUGCUAAACCAAUGGCGGUUAAACAACCAUGCAUGCCGGCAGCAAUAAUUUUGUGAAUCCACA